UGUUGCUUCACUCAUUGAAGCAUAUCCAUCCACUUCUUCCCCUCCAGUUAUUGGUGGCUCAAGCACGUAAAAGCUAUCCAUUUCUCUCCAAACAUCGUUGUUAUUCAUUUCUCACUCUAAUGCUUCAAAUAUGUUAGUUUGACCUUCUGCACCAAGUCCAUUGGCUCUAUGUUUUCCAAAAACAAUGUCCAACUAUUUGUAGAAUGGAAAAGACUUGUUUCUCAAUCCUUUGCAUUAGAAUGACUAUGUGAAAAUAAAUAUAAAUCAAAUUUUAAUACAUUUCAAUGAUUACAUGAUAACAUUGAAAUUUUACACUUACAUUUACCCAUUCAUGAAAUAUAUAUUUUUCUACUUCUAUGCAUUUUUCUUUAUCAUUACGUUCAAAAUCGCUGCAAUUUGGACCUAACAUUUCAACUAUUGCAUUGUACAUCUUCUUCAACAAUUUAACUCUACACUGUAGGUAUGGUGGUGUGGUUGAGCCUUAACUCUAGACUAGCUCUAUGGAUACUUUAGACUCUAGACCUCUGUGUGUGAAGUUCAUAGUUAGAAUUUUUUUUCAGCCAUCCAUUUCUCUACGUGAUUGAUAUCCUUUCAUCUAAUCAUUUAAAUGAUAUCAUUGUCCUCUAUAAACUGCCAACAAUACAGUUCAUCCUAACUUGGGUUGUUCACUCGCAUCACCAAAGUUAUUGUUCAUUUUUUUCAUUCACUUGUCAUUAGAAUUUGUGCUUUAAAACCUCGUAAGUAAUGUGUUAUUAAAUAAUUAUUUACUUACUUUAUUUUCAAUAUUAUACUAUACAUUACAUGAAAACAAUUUAGAUAAUAGCAACAUAACUACCAUAUGUAUGUGCCAAGGAACAAGAAGUUAUACAUCAAUCUCCACUAUAAAUAUGUCUUACAGUCUCAUAUGAUGUAAUUUGAAUUUUACUCACGAACACCCUACCAUUCACACUCUUUUACUUAGAUUUCUAAAAGUUUUUAGCUUUUUAAUCCCUAUAUAUAUAUAUAUAUAUAUAUACUGAUUUAAAUCUAAAAAAACAGUCCCUUGGUUUCACGCUCUUUCACUUGAAUUCAAAUUUUUUUAAAUUGGAAGUUCUGUCAUAUACAAUACAAGACAUGUAAAUCUCUACAAUGAACUUAUCAUGUAAUAUUAAAAGAAAAUUUGAAGACAGCAAUGGUGGAGAAAAAUAUAUUCAUGUUUAAUAUUCAGUUUUAUAAACUCCCUUUAGACAAACCAAUGAACAAAAAAAAUUUAAGGAAAAAUCAAAGGCACUGUUCCAAAUGUAGAUAUGCAACCCCACAUAAUAGCAAACUCUAGCCAUGGAUCACUCAUCCAAGUUAAUAAUGAUCAAGCAAGGUUCUUGAUUCUUGGGUGUAAACCAAACUAAACUUACCUUGGAUCUGGCAGUGUAAUAGUUAAUUCAUUAGUUGAACUUGAUUUGUCUUUACUUGAGCUAAUUUUCCUUGAAAUGGCUUCAUUUUCUAUGAAAAAACCAGGUUGUUUCGGUUGCGACAAAGGAAUUUCACAACCUAACAUCAUAAUCACCGAUGACAUUGUGGGUCGAUCAUCGGGAUUUUGUUGAACACACAACAAACUGAUGUUGAUACAUCUCAAUACCUCCGAAAUUAUGCACAUUUCUCGAAUGGCGUCGUCGAUCAAUUCCUCUGGAUUUCCUUCUUUCCACAAUCGCCAAGCCUAUUACACCAGAAUUGAAGAUGAAGACAAAUUUUCAAUCAAAGAAUUUUGAACAGAAGAAUGUUAAUAAAAAAAUUAAUCCUUGGGACUUACAUAUGCAAUAACAUUUUGGUCGUUCAAGUGGCAGAAACUUCUACUCCUUUUUCCACUAAUGAUCUCCAACAACAAAAUGCCGUAACUAAAAGCAUCCGAUUUUACUGAGAAUCGUCCAUCGAAAGCAUAUUCUGGUGCCAUGUAUCCACUGUUGAAAGAUAAAAUUGUUUAAGAACUAGAAUUUGACAAAGCACAAAGACAAGAUGUCUGAGGAAAAUAUUAAUGAACUCUUACUAAGUUCCAACCACUUUUAUUGUUCUCCCUUCAGUUUGAUCUCCACCACAAGUUUUAGCUAGACCAAAAUCAGAAAUUUUGGGAUUCAUAUCCGUAUCAAGUAAAACAUUACUUGCUUUUAAAUCCCUAUGUAUAAUCCUCAAUCGAGAAUCUUGAUGAAGAUACACGAGUCCUCUAGCAAUUCCACAUAUAAUGUGGUAUCGUUGUGACCAAUCUAAUAAUUGACGUUGUGUUCGAUCUGUAAAUUUUAAAUUUACUUAGUUUCGUGGAAUGAAGGAUGAACACUAAGAUACAGAAUGUGUGCUUCAAUUAAAUGUGACAAACUAAAAGAUCGAAAUUUGUAAGCAUCCUUACCAAAUAUAAAGAAGUCCAAACUUUUGUUUGGCAUAUACUCAUAAACUAACAUUUUCUCUUCUCCUUGAAUGCAGCAACCAAGAAGUUUUACAAGAUUUCGAUGUUGAAGUUUUGCAAUCAGGAUUACUUCGUUCUUAAAUUCGUUCAUUCCUUGUCCAGAACUCCGCGAAAGUCUCUUCACUGCAAUAUCUUGUCCAUUUGUAAGCUUACCCUGAAAAAUUCAAAAUUUUCUACAUGUUUCUGAUUUGAAAUGAAUAAAAAGUGUGCCUCAGAUCAGUUAACAUUAAAUUAAAUACCUUAUAUACUGGCCCAAAGCCACCUUCUCCCAACUUAUUAUCAAUCGAAAAGUUAUUUGUGGCACUAUUUAUCAAGGAUAGAUCAAACAAGGGAAGCUCCAGAUCUUGAGCUUCUAUUUUCUCAUGGUCAUCUGCAAUUUGAUGGUCUUGUCAAUGUUGACAUUUAUAUUGAGUAACAUUGACUGAAUUAAGAAGGUUUCAGUCUAUUCAAGCAGACAAGAUGAAACUUGGUUGAAAAGAACAAUCAAUCUACAACAAUUUAUUUGCUCAUUAUUGAAUAGUGGAAUGAACUUGAUGAAAAAAAUUGUCAUGGAAAAUUUUUUGAAGGUCAUGUAAAUAUGUUUACAAAUGGUGCAAAACGACCAUCACGAAUAAGGAUUUGGGCAUAGAAAAGUAACCUUAUAUUUGAACAAAGAUUUUAGGUAUUUAGGCUAUCUUCUCAAAAUUUGUUUCAAUUUAGGCAUUUAUGUUUGGUUGUUUCUUAGUAUUCCAGUUAUCCAUUGAAAGAAGAAUAUUUUAGGCUGCCAGUAAAGUUAUAAUUGCAGCAAGUGUGACAAUUACGGUAAUAGGAUUGGUAUUAGAGGAAUAUUAGAGAUACAUUAGAAAUUAGAAAGGGAGUUUGUCAGAGAAGUUGGUUUAUAAAUAAAGGAGAGGGAAUUCGGAAGGUAAGCAAUAUUUUGGGUAAAUGCAUUAGGCCUUGAAAGUUAUCUCAAGAUUGAGAGGGUUCAAGUACCUCGAACAUUUGGCUUAUCUUGUAUUUCCAUUACCGUUUAUCUUUCAAUAUGGGGUUCUAUCGUAUGGUUUGAGAAAUAAUUACCUUUGACGGUUGAUCUCUUUUUGAAAAUGUAUAGGCCUAUGAAGAGGAUAGCCAAACCUAAACUGGGAGCAAUCACAGCCAAAGAAAUCUUCAUCUUAGGCUUCAAUCUAUCAGUUUUUUGUACCUCCCCACGCUUGACUUUUCGCCAUCAAAGAAAAAGUGAAACAAUUUGUACAUAUUAGGAAACCAAAUCAAUGUAGCUGUCACGUUUGAAGCACUGAAAAUUUAAACAUGUUCUUUUACCUAAUUCUGAUGCUAGCAUUUUAACAUAUAAAUCCUGUCCUGCGUCCGGAAUCAAUUUCAAGUCGAUUAGAUCACCAAUCCACAAGGCACAGCCACUGCCACUCCCACUGAUGUUUGUAUUUGCAUAAGCCAUACAAGAGCAAUUACUCAAGCAUUUUUGCUUGCACUCUUCAAGAUCCAUGCUUUUGUUGACCCAAGUACGCUUUGUGUCUGGCAAUUUCAGCUGGUUGAGCGGUGCAAACCCAACUUCAUCCCCACAGUUUAUCAGUUUGUUUCGUUCACAACCGUCUGCAAAUUCCCCCGCCGUCCAACUAUCAGGUGAUCUUGGCUUAAACCCUUCUAGACAUUUACAAGAUGGAGUUACCCUUAUAUCACAAUACCCAUAAGGGCCACACAGGGCAUAAUUGUCACAGAAAUCUCUUGGCAAUGAAGUAUAAAGUCUCCACUGUCUCUCGGUUGCAGACCACAAGUACAUUAUGCGCAAGUAAUUGGAUUGGUUCAUCACCACCAUCACAGUAUGGGACUUAUUUGGAACAGAGUAUUGGUAGUAAACUUCAUCCUCAUUUGAAACAAAGUUGAAGUUCAGAAUUGGUGCAAUACCUAGUGGUCUACUGGUGACUCUCACACCAUUCCAUGGGCCAUGCCUGAAGUAUUCUUGUGAACCUUUCCACAUGACAGAUUCAGGAUAUUCAUGAAGCUCCAUCCUCCAACUGAGGUUUCCAGGUGAUGGGUCAUUCGGAUUCUUCCAAGCGUCUAAUCUUCUAUUAAUGUUAUUUCUCAAGUCCCAACCCAGCUUCAUUCCAGGCAAGAGAGUGUCAGUGGGGUAAUCAAAACUUUGCCAGGAGUAGUUUAAGGGAUUUUCAUCUUUCCUAUCUCUCAGCACAAGAUUUCCAGUGUCCAAUAAUUGGAGUACCCCAUUGGGGAUUUUUCUCAGCAACCUGGCGGACCAAACAAUGGCGGUGGAAUCAUGGCUGUAAAGCGUAAGAUUUCCUGUUGUAAUGUUCAUCACCAGUACACCAGAUGAAUCAUUGAUUGGGGUGUUCCUAUUCGCAACCCAAACGGAGGUCGGACCUCGCCGAUUCUUGAACCAAAUUCCCAAGUAACGAUCUCUCGAAAGACCGGGACUGAAGAAACCCAAUUCGAAGUUUCCAUUACUGGAAACAAGACUAAAGCCAUCUUUGAGAUAUGGGUCUUGAGCAGUUAAGGAAUCAGUGGCAGCAACAUAAGUGAAGAGAUAGAGGAGUAAGUUAAAAGCCAACAAUGCUGGAGGGAAAGAGUCCAUAUCGAUGGGGCGGCCAUGAGUAUUCACUUCAAAUAAAAUACAGAUGGUGUUGGAAGAGAAAAAACACUGUUAUGUGUUCAAUGGGGUCGUUGUAGACCGAUUAGCACGGCAAUUUCCAAAGGCAAUUUCCAAUGGGGUCGUUAUGUUGACGUUGAGUGACUGGAUUUUUUCUUCAUCUUUUGAAAAUGAAGCCAUCAAGAAGGGAAUUGAACGGUUCUUCGAGUGGACUUGGUUCUAGAGACGGCAGCUGUGGACACGUGAAUACAAACCUCUUGGUUUGACAUCAGGAAAUGGACUUGCCAAUCAAUCAAUCAAUCAAGAGACCUAUAUUGUCGAUUUAUUUCGGAGUAAUUGACAGAUAGUCCUAUUUGAUUUUGUGAUAGAUAUCCAUUUUCCAUAUUUUCGGGUAUUACGUCCGUCCAUUUGGAGAACACAAUUGUGUGUAUCCCAUUUUAUCUCACACAUAAAAAUUGAAAAAAAAUAAUAAAAAUGAAUUUGCUGACUAAUUAUGAUUCAUCAGUUUGAUAUAAAACACAAACAUCGAUGUUAUAUCAAAUGCUGCUGAGUGUUACUUAAGAAAAAAAAAAAGAGAAAUUGAAGUCCAGAAGGCUGGGAGGAAUUUCUAUAUUUGGCCCAAUAAGUUUUUAGAUAUAAAAGAUUGACAUGCUUUUUUCAAAAUAACGCUAAUUUAUGGUUUUCUUUUUUAAUUAUUAUAAUUGAGUACGAAUAAAAAAUAAAUAAAAACUAUUUUAAGAAUAAUAAUUAAGGAUAUUAUAUCAACCAUUGGAUAUAAAUAUAAUAUAAAAAAUUCACACAUUAACAGCCGAACAAAAUUAUAACUCAUGGUGUCCGAAUUUGGACAACUAAAUCCACACGACCACUAUGAUAACAAAUUUGAAUCUUCACGUUUAAUUUGUCAUAUAAUAUUACAAGAAACAAUGUAUUGAUAUUAUUAGGCAGUUUGCUAAUCUCCUUCUAUAAAAAAAAAAGAGCUAAAUGAACAAAAAAUAUUUCAAGGCAAAAACAAAGAACCUUUUCCGAGUGUGAGAUUCACACCUCAUAUCCAGGAAACAAACUCUAGCAUUUAGUGUUCACUCGUUCACGCUAACACUUGAUCAACCAAGGUUCUUAGGCUUAGCCUUGAACUAAACUAAAAAACCUCGACUGUUCUUACCUUGGAUCUGGGAGCGUAACAGUCAAUUCAUUAGUUGACGUUGAUUUAUCUUCACUUGAGCAUCUUUUCAUUUCAAUGCCUUCAUUUUCUAUGAAAAAUCCGGGUUGUUUUGGUUGUGACAAAGGAAUUUCACAGCCUAGCAUCAUAACCACCGAUGACAUUGUGGGUCGAUCAUUAGGAUGUUGUUGAACACAUAACAAACUGAUAUUGAUACAUCUUAUCACUUCCGAAAGGCUGCAUGUUUCUCGAAUGGCAUCAUCGAGCAAUUCUUCUACAUUUCCUUCUUUCCAUAAUCGCCAUGCCUAUCAUUCAAGAAAUGUAGGGUUGAAUUUUUUUUCCAAUCAUAAAACUUUGAAUAGAAGAAUUGUAAUAAACAACUAAUACUUGGCACUUACAUAUGCAAUUAGGUUUUGGUCAUUCAAAUGGCAGAAAGUUCUGCUUCUUUUCCCACUAAUGAUCUCCAGCAACAAAAUGCCAUAACUAAAAGCAUCAGAUUUCACUGAGAAUUGUCCAUCAAAAGCAUAUUCUGGUGCCAUAUAUCCGCUGCAAAAAUAAAAAUUUAAGAAUUCAUGAAUUUAACAAAGCACGAAAACAAAGAUGUUUGAGAAAAAUAUUGAGGUUUCCUUACUAGGUUCCAAUCACUCUUAAUGUUCGUCCUCCCGUUUGAUCUCCACCACAAGUUUUAGCCAGUCCAAAAUCAGAGAUUUUUGGAUUCAUAUCCAUGUCAAGUAAAACAUUACUUGCUUUUAAAUCUCUAUGUAUAAUCCUCAAUCUCGAAUCUUGAUGGAGAUACAUGAGUCCUCUAGCAACUCCACAAAUAAUGCGAUACCGAUUUGACCAGCUUAAUAAUUGUCGCUGUGUUUUAUCUGUCAAUUUAAAAUUUACUAAGUCCAGUAAAAAUGAAAGGUAAACACCAAGACACCAUAUGCUUCAAUUAAUAUGGAAAACUAAAAGAAUGAAAUUUCAAAGUAUUCUUACUAAAUAUAAAGAAGUCCAAACUUUUGUUUGGCAUAUACUCAUAAACUAGCAUUUUCUCAUCUCCUUCAAUGCAGCAACCAAGAAGCUUUACAAGGUUUCGAUGUUGCAGUUUCGCAAUCAGGAUUACUUCAUUCUUAAACUCAUUCGUUCCUUGUCCAGAACUCUGUGAAAGUCUUUUCACUGCAACAUCUUGUCCAUUUGUAAGCUUACCCUGGAAUUCAAACUUUUAUAUAUAUAUUUCUGAUUUUUAAAAAAUAAGAAGUGUGGGCCAAAUCAGUUAACAUAAAAAUAAGUACCUUAUAUACUGGCCCAAAGCCACCUUCUCCUAGCUUAUUAUUAAGUGAGAAGUUAUCUGUGGCACUGUUAAUCAAGGAUAAAUCAAACAAGGGAAGCUCCAGGUGAUGAGCUUCUAUUUUCUCAUGGCCAUCUGCAAUUUGAAGGUUUCGUCAACGUUUACAUUCAUUUUGAGUAACAUUGACUGAAUUAAAUUGAAUUAAGAUGAAUUCAGUCUAUUGAAGCCAAAAAUGAAACUUUUGUGGCAAAAAAGGUUCAAUAUAUUGAAUAGUGUGUAAACGGGAUUAAAUAAAAAUUAUCCUGGAAAAUGUUUUGGAAGUUCACGAAUAAGGAUUUGGUUAAAAAAAAAGUAACUUGAAAUUGCAACCAAGAUUUUAGUCUUUAGGCUACCUUUCUCAAAUUUGAUCAAUUUUGAAUUUUGGCAUCUUGACUGUUUCUUACUUUCUCAGUUCAUCAAUAUCCAUUGAAAUAAGAGUAUUUUAGGCUGAACGGCAGAAUGUGUCAAACAUGUUAGUUUGAGAAAUAGUAACGAUUACCUUUAAUGGUUGAUCUCCUUCUGAAAAUGUAUACGCCUAUGAAGAAGAUGAUAGCCAAACCAAAACCGGAAAUUGCAAACAAAGCAAUCUUCACUUUCGAAUUCAAUCUUCCAGUCUUGUGUGCUUUCCUAUGCAUGACUUUCCCAUCAAAGGAAAAGUUAAUCAAUUAGCAUAUAGUAUACAUUCAAAUCAAUGUUUAUUUGUUGUACUACAUGUGAAGCAUUGAAAUUUACAUUAGCUUUACCUAGUUCUGAUGCCAGCAUUCUGACAUAUAAAUCCUGUCCUGCAUCGGGGAUCAGUUUCAAGUCAAUUAGAUCACCAAUCCACAAGGCACAACCACUGCCACUGCCACUGCCGCUAAUAUUUGUAUUUGCAUAAGCCAUACAUGAGCAAUUUCUCAAGCAUUUUUGCCUGCACUCUUCAAGAUUCAUGCUUUUGUUGACCCAAGUAUGCUUUGUAUCUGGCAACUUCAUCUGGUUGAGAUGUGCAAACCCAACUUCAUCACCGCAGUUCAUCAGUUUGUUUCGUUCACAACCGUCUGCAAAUUCCCCAGUUUUCCAAGUAUCAGGCGAUCUUGGCUUAAACCCUUCUAGACAUUUACAAGAUGGAGUUACCCUUAUAUCACAAUAACCAUAUGGGCCACACAGGGCAUAAUUAUCACAGUAAUCUCUUGGCAAUGAAGUGUAAACUCUCCACCGUCUUUCAGCUGCAGACCACAAGUAUAAUAUGCGCGUGUAAGUCGAUUGGUUCAUCACCAACAUCACUGAAUGAGACUUAUUUACAACAGAGAUUUGGUAGUAAACCUCAUUCUCAUUUGAAACAAAAUUGAAGUUCAAAAUUGGCGCUGCAGCUAGUGGUCUACUACUGAGUCUCACACCAUUCCAUGGGCCAUGCCUAACGUACUUUCGGGAACAUUUCCACAUGACAGUCUCGGGAUAUUCAUGAAGCUCCAUCCUCCAACUGAGGUCUCCAGGAGAUGGGUCAUUGAGAUUGUUCCAAGCCUCUAAUCUUCUCUCAAUGUUAUAUCUCAAGUCCCAACCUAGCUUCAUUCCAGGCAAGAGAGUAUCAGAAGGGUAAUCAAAGCUUUGCCAGGAAUAGUUUUGGGGAUUUUCAUCAUCCCUAUCUCUCAGCACAAGAUUUCCAGUGUCCAAUAGUUGGAGUACCCCAUUGGGGACUUUUCUCAGUAACCUGGCGGACCAAACAACAACAGUGGAAUUAUGGCCGAAGAGUGUAAGAUUUCCUGUUGUAAUGUUCAUCACCAGUACACCAGACGAACCACUAAUGGGGGUUUUCCUAUUGGCAACCCAAACAGAUGUUGGACCUCGGCGAUUCUUGUACCAAAUUCCCAAGUAACGGUUACUGGGAAGUCCAGGACUAAAGAAACCCAAUUCAAAAGUUCCAUUAGUAGAGACCAGACUAAGGCCAUCUCUGAGAUAUGGGUUUUGAGCCGUUAAGGAAUCGGAGAUUGCUGCAGACCUGAAGAGAAGAAGGGCUAAGUUAAAAGCAAGGAGUGUUGCAGAAAAAGAGUCCAUAUCGAUGGGCAGCCAUGAGUGUAACUAUAAGCCUCAAUAAAAUAGUGAAGGUGUUACAAGAAAAUGUGAAAAGUUGUAAGGAGUCGUUGUAGACCAAUUAGCACGAUACUCACCAAAGGAACACGAUGAAUGACUUGCUUUUUCUUCUUUGACAAUGAGGGCAUCGACAAGGAAAUUGAGCGGUUAUUGGAGUGGAGUUGGUCGGUAUGAAUGGCAGUAGUCAGCUGUGGUGACCGCUUGUUUUGUCGUCAUUCUAUCAAGAAAUGACUUCGGCCAUGGAAAAUUAUCGGUUAACUUGAUAAUAAGACUAAAGCCUAUCCCUUUCUUCCAGAAGCUAAUAAGAAUUUAGCUAAGUAGUUGUUCUUAGAUUUAGUUUUUCUAAAAGUUUCUCAAUUUUUUAACAAUUAUAAAAAGUAUUCUUCCAUAUUAAUAUUUUAUACAUAUAUUUUCCAAUUCUAAUUCAUGUGUUACUGAUUAAAUUGAAAAUUCUUUGACCAAUAUGAGCAUCAAAUAAAUGUAUACUAUGUGAAAGUUUUUCUCUUUGUAAAAACAAAUCACUUACAUUGGCAUGACAUGAGCAGGAAAUUGAUCUUCACCUUCAAACUCACUCUCCGUCGUGGCCAAUUGGGUGAAUUGAUUGAUUGCCUGUGUUGGUGGAGCCCGUUCCAAACUCUGGUUGAAAUGCCUUGUUUUCUUGUCGCAUUGCUUGACCUUGUUAGAAUGCUUGAGAAGAAGAAAAAGUAGGAGCUGUGUAGAUGGGGUUUUGAUCCAAUUGGGCUUGGUUUUCACAUGUCAUAUUUGGAUUGCAACUCCAUUCCGAGUUAUAGUUGUUGUCGUAGAGAACAUGCCUUUGACUACAACCUCCCUUUUCAAUAUCAGAAAUCAUCAUAUAAGUUAAAUUUGAAAUUUGAGAGUCAAGUUCUCUUGGCUCUUCUAUUGAUAUUUCUAUUUCUUCUUACAUUUUCUUCCAAGCCAUCUUGGUUUUGAAAAUUAUUUAUCAAUAGUCUCUUCUUCCUUUAUAAAAAAAUCUAAUCUUCUUUUCUAAAUACACUCAAACGAAUCUGUAUUAAUAAGAGAAGAAGAAAGGUCAUGCAAUACACUUAGAGAUAAUAAAUUUUAUCAAACAACUAUUUUUCGACUUUUCUUACAAAUUGAAUUGAAGAUUCAAGAAAUCUAAAAAUCAAGAAAUCAAGAUUCAAAAAAAUUUGCAUAUGCCUAGCUCCUCAGCAAUGACCCAUUAAGAAUGCAAAAGGUGUACACAAGAAUAUGUAAGAAUUAAACGGAGGGAAACGCAAUUGCAAUACAAGUAAUCAAUAGAUAAAAAAGAUUAAGGAAUUGUAAAGGAAAUACAAAUGGGUAAUAACCUACCAAAAACAAAAAGAAUCCUUCAAGUAAAUUUAUAAACUCAACUUCCAAUGAAUUAAUGGAGUAAAGGUAAGACGGGGUUGUACCCAAUGGAGCUAUAUUGAUAAGAAAUUUAUGAAACAAGAUCUUAAAAAAGAAAAUUAGUAAUCUCAAGAAUCUAAAAUGAAUUAUUGUAGUAAAAUGAGGGUGUUUAUGGAACAACAUGCUCAAAAAAAUGAAAGUAACAUCGGUGAUAAUUGUUCACUUCAAGAAUCAAUCAAUCAACAAAAUUGCAAAGAGAUUUUCUUUCAAGGUUUAAAGGACAAGGAAAUUAUUAGAUAUGCAUUUGUCCAUUCCAAUCAUAGAUUAAAUAAGUAGUUGCAAGAAUUAUGAUCCUUGAUCAUAUUCAAGAGAUCAAAAGCCUUAUUUGACCCCAUGAAUUAAUUGCCUCAAUACAAUGAUUAAUAUGCAAGACUUACACAUAAUCAUAGUAAAUCAAGUUCUAAGCGUUUCCAUUUUAGCAAUUUUCACACAAGAAUAAUUAAACAUGCAUUAUGAUCAGGAGGUAUCAAAUCAAGUCUUGUUAGAAUGUGAAAGCCACUACUCCCAUACUAAUUAAUGAAGUCUUGAUUUUGUGCUAGGGUUGCUAGUGAGCAUUUUAAUUGAGAGAUUUUUGGUGCAUUUUUCUUCUAGAAUCUUUCCUUGAGAUCAAGUCAAAUGGUUCUUGCUGAAUCAACAAAUAAGAGGUUUAUUGAGAUGGGUUUGAUACAAAGUUUAGUAUCCAGGAAAUGGCAAUGUGUUGUUGUUUCUAACCCAAGCUAGGAGAAGGUCAUCAGUUGGGUGGGUGAGGGAUCCAUCAAUGAAUCUGAUUUUAUUAUUCACAGAAAGGGUGAUGAUCAUAGCUCGACUCCAAGGAAACAUAAUUUUCUACGUAUGUGUUAUCGUUGUGGUAGUGUAGAAAAUAGGGGUUUAGGUAUCUUUGAUUUUGAUCAAAGGAAGUUUGAGGAGAGGUAUCAAACUGACUGGGAAUAAAAAAAAUUUAGAUUUCCGAUGAGGUCUGUGGGGGGUUGGUGUCAACAAGGAAGGGUUGUCAUGGUGGUUAUGGAGGUUUAGAUGCUUUGGCGGAAGAUGGUGGAAAAUGGUUGUGCAGCCAGAAGAAUCCUUCCUUCGAAGGAAGAAGAUGAUUUAGGAGGAAAGAGUUCCAACAGAUACCAUAUUAAACAGAUUUGGGAAAAAUACUUGAUUUUUAACGUAUCGACAAAAGAUCUUAACCAAUAGCAAAAGUGUUAUUUACUUCUAAUAACAAGCUAUUUACAAUAGAAAAAGAGCAAAUUAAUACACCGAAUUUGUGUUUAUAUAUCUCAAUAUUUCAGGGUUGUUUUUGAAUAUUUAACCAUGUAAUCUAGAAUUUAGAUAAGUAUAUUUAUUAUUAAUAUUGAGUCAAAUGAAUGCUACAUAUUUAUAUCCAUAAUAAACUAAUCCCCAGAGACAUGUGAUCUAAUAACAAAUCAAACUAAAAUAUAUUAAGAUUUAUGGCAAAAUGGGUUGAUAUGAAUGUGAUCUCCUCUUUUUUUUACCAUCCUAAAAUUGGAUUGGAGAAUCCUAAUGCAUUGUAUCUAAUUUACUAAACUUGAGCUAUUGGAUUAUUUUUAAAAUCUCUUUACCUUUUUUUAAUUGAUAUUUAUUUAUUCAAAUAUUAGGCACGUUUUUUUAAAUUUAUUUAUAAAUUAAAUAUUAAUAUUUUUCAGACUCAUUCUAAAUAUUGUUAUACAAAUACAAUUUUCAAACCUUUUCUUUGACAGUUUUCUAAGUAAAUAUUGGGCGGUAGCUAUAGAUUGUGCGAUGUCACCUUCAAAAAGAGUUUGGAAGGCAUAAUACCUAGAUGAAUCUCAAAAAGAAACAACUGUGGGUAAAUGUUUCUUCUUCAUCAUCGUCUCUCUCUAAGAGCCAAAUUCAAACAAUUGGUUCUUGCUAAGAACCCAAGCACUAGUGCUCAAAAUCUAGCCAGAAGCAGCCUGCAGGUAGAAAUUCAUUUUCAUUUUCGGGUUUUUGCUUUGUAUUUUGUAUACUUAGGGUUCCUUUCCAUGCUGCUAAGUAAACAAACUCCCCUCUUCUUUUCCCACUUUAGAACCAAAAAAUAAAAGAGUUGAUUAAAUUUGUUGUUCUUUGUGUACAGAGAUCAUAUGUUGGAUGUACACAAGGAAAAAACAAGUCAAUACAUUGAGAAAGAAGUAUUUAGAAGUCAUUUUGAAACAAGAUGUUGGAUUUUUUUAACAUCCAUUAGCAUUUUAAGGAACACUCUUUUUUUUUAGUAACUUUUUUUUCUCUAUUUUUCUUUCCAAAAUGAAGAAAAUUAUAAAACCGAUCACUUAACUUACGUUUUUUUGGCAUAAGUAUAUUUACCUAUUUUUCAAUAUAUUGUAUUUGUGAGUGUAGACUCAAAGACUAAGUAUGUAUGGUAUUGUCAUCAUGUUUGUCUCAUUUCAUUGAGUUAAUUAUUUUUUUAGUAUAACGUAUUUGUAGAGACUCUGUGACUGUUAUUUUGCUCAAAGUAUGAACUAUAAUGUUUUGAAAAAUAUUAUGUAUUGCAAUAGUUAAUAAAUUCCUGGUGAUUAGGAUUUCGAUUUUAGAUUUUUUUAGCUGUGUAAAAUUUAGUAUGAUUUAAAAAUAUUUUAUUUUAAAUUUUUUGAAAAAUAUUAUUAUUUUAACAAAUAAUAACAAAAAUAGAGUUCAAGUGAAAGAAUUGUGAAACAUAGGUUACGUAAUCAUGAACCUAAUUCAUCCUUUUCUUGAAAUCGCUAACCAGGUCCACAAGUUCAAUGAAAUUGUGGAUUCGAUACUAAAUGGUCUCCACGUAAGUAAGUCAGUCAAAUCGUGUAAUUGCAUGAUUUGUCAUGUGCAAGUCCGUGAGUUCGUGGUUCCCAAAUCUGAAUUAUACUCCCAUUUUCUUCCAACUCUCCUCACCAUCAUUACCAUCCACCCUAUCUCAUGCAAGAUGGAUGAAUAUUUUGUUACAUUGAUCAUAUUCUUUAUACAUAAUAAUUCUGUCCAAGAUGUAACACAAUUUACUCAUGGUUUGAUUUUUAGCCAAAUUUGAAAAGAAAAUUUAUUUAUUUAUUUUUUUGUAAUUUUAAGAUGGGGAAAGAUAGAGAUAAAAACUAGUGUCAAUAGGCAUAAUUUUCAAUAAAAGAAAAUAGAUAUAGAAAGAAAAAAGGAUUGGAUAGUUUUAAUUAAUUAUUAGUUUGUGAAUUAAUAUGGUGAACAUGUGGCCAACUUAGGAUGGAGUGUGUAUUUAAUAUCAAUAUAAUAAUAUAUAUUGGCAUUUAGAACUGGCAAGCUCUGACGAAAAGGACGAUUCUACCCUCCAUAUCAAUUUGGUUAUCCCAAAGAGAACGGCAAACCCCCAGGCGCCAUUCAAAUAAUUUAAGAGUAAAAUGACGAAUAUACCACCAGAAGGAGGCUUCUCCGAAAAUCACACAACCUCCAAAUCUAAAUCUGGCGUAAUUAAUCUCCAUUAUUAUCUGUACCUUGGUUGGCUUUCCAUGGCGCUCCUUCUCCGAAACCCCAUUCACAUUCUUCUUCUGAUCUUCUUUUUCUUCUUCUUCUUCUUCUUCACUUUUCCCUCAUAAAUAUCCCCCCAUUCCACUCCCACUCCUCUUCAAUUCAAACUCAGGCCCUAAUUCCUAAUUCUAUCUCACCACCUCACUUCAAUGGCAUUUUCCGCUGAGAAAUCAGGAUUCGAGGACUGGCUGCCCACGAUGGCAGAGAGGCUGGGCGGGGAGGGCCUCAUCGGGGAGCUGUGCAAUGGAUUCAAUCUUCUGAUGAAUAGAGAGAAGGGAGUGAUUGAUUUCGAGAGCCUGAAGAGGAACGCUGCGGCGCUAGGGCUGGGGGAUCUAAGCGAUGAGGAUCUGAGAUCAAUGUUGAGAGAAGGGGAUUUUGAUGGUGAUGGUGCUCUUAAUCAGAUGGAGUUUUGUGUUCUUAUGUUUAGAUUGAGCCCUGAAUUGAUGGAAGAAUCGUGGUUCUUGCUUGAGGAAGCUCUACAUCAAGAAUUCAAGGAUUUUUGUUGAUUUCCUUUUCUUUCUUUUCUUUUCUAUUAAUUACUGAUUUUUCUUAACUCACUGAUCUUUUACUUGGAAAUUAAAUUAAAAUAAAUUGAUACUUUUUACUAACCAACUUCCAAAUUCAUCCACACUAACUUCUCUUCAAUUUUUAGCACUUGCUCAUGAAUGAAUAUAUAUAUAUAUCCGUAAAUUUGGACAUUCUUAUAAAAUAAGUAACGUUCAUAUUUUUUAUCUAUUUUAUCUUACUAAUAACAAUUAACAAUAUCUAUAACUUACUAUGGGAGCAAAAAUAAGUUAAAUAUUAAUCCCAAAAAGUUUUCUAAGCUUUUUUACUUAUACAAAAUUUGGUUAUUUCCAUACUUUUAUUGAUAUAUUUGAUAUCCCUUAGUUGGACAAAUUUUGUCUAUUAAAUUCGAAUCAAAUUAUUUAACCAUAUAUAAAAAAAAUACGUGGAUCUAAAUAAGUACCUACAUCUUUUUUUAUUUGUUUGACAAUACACCAGAAAAAAAAUGUGAAGAGGAAAACACAUACAACAAUUAAAAAAAAACUAUGAAGCAAAACGAAACAAAGUAAAAAAAAUUAUUUGAAAAACAAAUAUAAAUCAUAAUAUAGUCAUAUCCAAAUUUCCUAUAAAAUGAACGUAGAAAAAUAAAAAUGUCCAUUAUUUUUUUUCUUUAGAAGUAUUGCAUUGGGAAGAAGUGAUUUUUUUUUUUACCGAAGUUGUGUUGCAUAUAGAUAGAAGAGAGAGAUUAUGAUCUAUUUAUAUAAAAAGAUGUUCGAUAGUCAUAUCAUUUAUAGAGGGUUGUAUAUAUCAUUUCGUGAAAAUUAUUUUUCAUCUACCUUUUUAAUAUACUAGAUAUGUUUGUAAACAUAAUCACGCAUCAAUCAAAUAAACCUAAAACUAAUUUUAUUAUUUGUUUCCUCCAAAACUAACUCCGUGCUCCAAGGUGAAAUAAACUUUAUUAUUUGUUUCCUCCAAAACUGACUCGGUGUUCCAAGGUGAAAUAAAAUAACAACUCAUAUAGAAAACAAAUUUUAUGAAAUUUGAGAUAAAUAUUCUCACAAUGACUUAAUUUAAUUAAUAUGAUAAAUUUUAGAGUUAAUCAUCUAAAUAUAGAAGACACAUUAUCAUUCCUAACAAAAUAUUUAAAGUCAAGUUAUAAAUUAAGGUAAGCUUUUUUCUAAAAAAAUUCAAGGACAAAAACAAACCGUCUUAUUAUUUUAGGUACUAGAAUAAGAUACAAAAUUUAGGAAUGAAACUAUGUAGGGUAUAAAUGGUGUAUUUAUUAGGUAUAAUUUUACAUAUUUUAAAAUGAAACACAUAUAUUUUGAAAUUGAGCUGUGGAUGUAAUCUAGCGCAAGUUUAAAUGGUCAUACAAGUAGUGGUCAAUGGGCAAAGAGACUUUGUGGGAGUGGAAGAACAAAAAUGUCAUCUCAAGUGUUGUCAUUGUUUGAAUUUUGAUCUCUCAAAUGUAGUCAAAACUUAGAUUUUUUUUACUUAAUUUUUAUGGAUGACUUAAGCUCAAAUGAUUAAUGCCAAAUUGUCAAAAGAGCAUACUAACAUUGUACUAAUUAUAUACAAUAAUAGGGGCUUAACCGCUAGUAUGAGUGCAAGUGAAAGAGCGAAGAGGAACGCAAGUGUAUGGAAAUGAGAAACGAAAGUUGCUAGCAUGUGAGAACACUAUUAUAUUAUAUUAGUUGAAAGCAAGCACAAGGUAGAAACGACGAUGAAAAGCCCUUGUGCAUGGAAACACUAUUACACCAAUGGCCUAAUUAAUUUCACACUAACAAAAAUCAUGUUUUUAUUGUAUUCUGUUAAUGUCAAAAGUUUAUACUUUAUUGUUUUCAAAAUUCAGGACAAACGGCAUUACAAUCAUCAAAUUAAAGUCACCCAUACUAUUAAAUCCAAAUUACCAUCAAAAUCUCAAUUUAACAAAAGUAUAUAAUUGGAGGAUGGUCAACCAAGUUAGUUUGAAUUUUUAAAAACUUAUCAAUUUCAAUUGAUUCCUUAUUGAGUUUGAACUUCUCUUAAAAUUGAUUUCUCAUUUUUAGAUUUUGACCAAAAACUGUGUUGAACUAAAUUUCUUUCCUUCCUACUAGUAACCAAGAUGCUUACUACAUAGAAAUAGCAUAUAUUCUCUUGGGUUCGUUUUCAACACGAAAAGAAAUAUAUCAAUCAUCGUUUGUUCCAUUUCAAUUAUACCAAAAUAAAAAAUUACUCUAUUUUCAAAACUAUCAAGCCAAAGGGAAAUAUUCACAUGAACCAUCCAAGUUUUUUUAAAAAUUUUAUUAUUAAUUAUUACUUUAAAGAUGGAACUUCCAAAUCUUUUAGCAAAAGAUGAAUAGGAUUUAAAUAAUAAUGGAAAGAGAGAAAAGGAAAUUGAUCGUAAUGGAAAUUGAUCAUAACGUAUUUGUUAAUGUUGGCAAAUGAAAAAAUCAUACCAAAAGAGAUUAUCUUUCAAGAAUGUAGAAAGUAUACUCUUCUAGAAACCAAAACGUAGAAGUAAAUAUAUAAUAGAAUACCUCUACAAACGAGUCAUAGUCAAAAAAAAGAAUGCUACACAAAAGUAGUAAACGCAAUACCUCUAAACACUUCUAACACUAAUUAUAUACCUUUAUUCUACCUUCAAACCUUACAAACUUUAAAAGAUGAAGAAAUGUUUUGUAUAACUGUCAUCUCUAUCUAAUUAUUUCAUUAACACGUGCAUUUUUUUAGAAGAAGAAUAAGUUCGUGUCAGAUGUUAGAAGGAAAGAGAUCACAUAUACUUUUUGGGUUUUUACGUAUAUAGCCUAAUCAUUAAGUCUACUUUUUUUUUAUAUAUAUAUAAUUUUUUGAAAAUGUUAUAUUUUUAUAUGAUUGGUAUAAUGGAUUGCAUGUUUUUACAAAAAGUAGGGGUCCAAUUACUAAUAAGUCUAUAUUUUCAUUGAAUCAAGAGAUAUACCUGUCUCAUAUGUUCCUCUCAACAAAAAAAAGAAAAAGAAAAAAAAGUUAAAAAUAACUUGAGAGAUAGGAAAUGCAUAAGAUAAAUGCAUCAUAUGAUACACCUAACCAUUGUCAUAUUCAAAUCAUCUCAUCAUACCCGAUAUCAACUAUAUAAAAAUAGUAGAAUAUGUUUUUUUUACCUUGACAGUUUUCAAAACAAAAAAUUAUGUCUCCAAAGUUAUCGAAAUUUUAAACUUGGUCCUCAGAUGUAAAAUUGUACCGACUAUAUAAGUUUGAGAAUUUAAGUUGUGUGAUUUGUUAGUCAAAUUUUUAUAAUAAAAGUAAGCUUGAAAAGGUGUGAUUGUUGUUGUAGUAAGUGAAAGGGUAUAAUUGUAAAUACAAUCCUAAUUUUGCAAUUUUAAAAAACUAUACUUCAUGGAUUAAAAUAUAUGAAGCAAUAUGUGAGAUUAAUGUUUCGUAGAUGAAACCUGGACUUUAUGAUGGGAUUGGUGGAAACUUUAUUCUUACGUAUCAAUUAUUAAAUGUAAAAGGUAAUGCCAAAUAAUUUAAUAACAAUUUCAAUUUUUUCACACGCGACGCCAUCGUCUGCGAAAAAAUGAAGGCUAAGAAAAAUGGGAGUUGAUCGAUAAUGGCGUUGGCGCGAAGGCGAUGACUUAUUUAAUACGAAAAAAUGGCAAAGCAGGUGAACCCAUUUCUCACCUCUCUUUUCUUUAAUUCCCUUUACGUUCGUUGAAAUGGUAUGACCACGAAAUCCCCAAGAAAUUUCCAUUCUUCUUCUUGGCUUUCUUAAUGCUUCCUCUUUCACCCUACAAAACAUCCCACGCACAAACCUUCCCUCCAUAGUUGCUUCUUUUUUAAGUUACCAUUGGAUCUUUCGCUUCGUAUCUUGAAUCUCCCCCAACUAAUUCCUUUCCAGGUAUACAAGCUGUCUCUUGCUUUCCACUCCUUCCUUAAUCCUCUAUCUUUUCUCUGCAUCUGAUUCCCUUAUUUUGAUUCUCACCCUUUUUUUCUUCCUUGUUUUGGUCGAGUUCUUUUGCUUUCACAUCACACGCAAAUGGGGUCUUACCAAAAUUUGUAUAUUUUAUUCGUAAUUUUGGGGUUGUCUGUUUUUGUAACGUUUAUAAUUGCUGGAAAUUGAAGUUUCUGAUCAUCUCUUUCUAAGCGAUGGAGGAAUUUCUCUUUCAUGUUGUGUCUCGUUCAGCGGACAGAGUUAAAGGGAAGUAUGUCCACCUCCUAAAUGGUUCUAAAAUUAUAGAAGGAGAAAAUGUUGUGUCGUAAUUUGCCAAAGUUAGACAAAGGAUUUUCUUGCUACUCAAUAUUGACCACUAUAAAGUUUGUUGAUUGAUUCCAUUUGCGUUGUCUAUGGUAAAGGUCAAAACAUCGACCCUUUUGUCGUCUGGAAAAGUCAACGGUCUUUUAAUGAGUACACUAGGUGGUGCAGCGGAAUACAUUUCUACUUGGAAUUUUCUUGUUUGAAAUACUUUUCAAAUUUGAGUUGUAAGGCAUCUGGUGUUUUAAUGAUAAGUGCUUUGAGUACUAUAUUAAUACCAUGUGAAAGAUCUCUUCUCUGCAACAGGCUUUUAGCUAUGGGAAGUCUCAUGAAUGAAAUUAACUUGAAGGACUUUUACAUUCCAAACUAUAUUUUGUCAAUUGGAUCAGAGGGGGAAAGUGUUAGCCAUCUCCCUGUUUGUCCAGUUAUUGCUUUCAUUAACUCCAAAAGUGGUGGUCAGCUGGGAGGCGAACUCCUUAUCCGAUACCGUGCUCUUCUCAAUAAAAAUCAGGUAAUUUUAUCAAUGUUAAUGUAGGAUAUUAUUGCUAUUUUGAGUUCUUUAUGGUUAUGGAUGUUCAAAUUUGAGGCAACUUUCUUCAGGUUUUUGAUCUGGGAGAGAGUCGCCCUGAUAAGGUACUACAUCAACUUUAUUGUAACCUUGGCAUACUCAAGGACAAUGGAGAUCUCUUGGCUGCUCAUGUUGAAAAGAAUCUUAGAUUAAUCGUAAGUUACUUGUUAAAUCUUGAUUUCUCUUGUAUUGUCUAUCAGUGAGAAUUCGUGAUUGAGCGUCUGUUGCAAUUUCAAUUGUAAAGACCAUAAGCUCUCAAUUAUCAUCAAUCUCUACUCCUUGCUCUUAACAUGUGAUUCUAAUUACUAGGUUGCAGGUGGAGAUGGUACUGCAAGCUGGCUUCUGGGAGUCGUUUCUGACAUGAAACUGCCUCAUCCACCUUCAAUUGCUACUGUGCCAUUGGGAACGGGAAACAACCUUCACUUUUCCUUUGGAUGGGUAUCUUUUUCUUUACUACACCGUGCUUUUGAUAUUUUUUUGUCAUAUAUAUAUAUGCGUAAUAAUGAUUCCACUCAUUAUCUAUAUGCUAGGCUAUGAUCUAUGUGUUAACUGGAUUAAAUAAAAAUAUUAAUGGGUCAAAAAAUCUCAACUUGAAUGUCUUGUUCAGUAUUUGGCUUUGGAAUAUUGAUCAUUUCACGGGAAAAUUUUCUAAUGGUCUUAUCGAAUGUACACUCUGACAUAAACAAUCAUGGUUUAUUUCGUGGCAAGAAUUUUAGCAUCUUCUAAUUUUCCAAGCCUGUUAAGAAGUUUUUCUACGUAAUCACUUAUAUGAGCUGUCACUUUACCAGGCACCAUCCGAGUUGUGCUUUCUGUGUACAUUAUUCUUGGUGCCUGGACUGAUCGAAGUCUGAAUUUGAAAAGAGUAACUGUUAUUAAUUCACAGGGAAAGAAAAAUCCCGGAACAGACCGUCAAUCCGUUGAAUCAUUCUUGAGUCAAGUAAGGAGUGCAAGAGAAAUGAAGAUUGAUAGGUAAUACGUCAGACUAGACUAACACGAAAAUUCAAGCAUGUUUAUUAAAACUUUCUUUUGUUCUAGCUUGACCAACCAAUUAUGUAGUAUAAGGGUGUAGGAUGGACAUGUACUUAAAACUUUGUCAUUGUACAUUUUUAUCGAUUAAAGCAUUAUGUAAUAAUAUGAUAAAUUCUCAACUAACAUAACUAAUGCAUUGGCAGACUAAGGAGUUAUCUAGUGGAUGGAAACUUAGAUAGUUGCGCUACUCUGGUAUUACCAAGCUAUACCUUUUUAGAUCGACUAGUCAUUGUGUAAUUAAACAACUUUCUGUCAAUUUUUGGGGAGUGCUGCUUUGGCAAUAGUGUUCAGAAUUAGGAUAGUGCAAUUUUUAUCAUUGGACAUAGUUAAUGUUAUAACCAAAUUCUAUUGAAAUGGAAGACUUCAUUGGUUGUUUAAUAAGAAUGACUUUGUUAUUGUUUUCUUCAUAAACUCAAUUUUUUUCAUUCCAGCUGGCAUAUUCUCAUGAGAAUGCGAAGUCCAAAGGAAAGUUCUUCUGAUUCUAUUGCGGCUCUAGAACUCCCUCACUGUUUGCAUGCAUUCCAUCAGGUAUCUCAGCCUGACAAACAAAAUAUAGUAAACUCGUCUUGGUUCUUAUUUUAAAUGAAAAUUCAGGUUUUCAUUCUUUCCACAGCUUAUACGUUCAGCAAGUUGAAUUGAAACUAUUCUGACUCAAGCAUUAAUGCCCAUAGUCCAUCGGUAGGAAAGAAAAAUUUUCACGAGAAAAAUGAGGUGUUUCUAAAUGUAGAUAAAAAUAGUAAAAACACUCCGAUUGGUUCUGUUGAAUUCUGAAAUUAAAUUCUAGGAUUGAUUGAAUAGAAAAGUUAGAAGAACAGAAAAGAGAAUAGCUAACUGUACUUGAACACCUCAAGAAGGAACUACAAGUUCUUACGAUUGUUUUUCAAUAUAUUUGAACUAAAUGAAAUUCAACUAGUCUGCUUGAAUCAAGAUUUAAAAAGAAGUUUAGAAUAAGGAUUUCAAAACAUUAAGUUAAAAGCAACAUUAAGUACUUAUUAGUUGUUACUGCAAUUGGAGUUUGAGUUUUGGGAUGGUAUCUUAAUUGCUUAUUAGACUAAGAAGUAGAACAAAACCUAUAUUAGGAUUUCUCAAUUGCUGCAAGAAUUUACCACUUGUUUAUUUUUUUGUUAUUCUUUAACACUAGAGAUUUUCAAUUGCACAUUAGGGGUUAUGCUUGAGUUUGGUACCUUGGGGUUAGUUUUUCCCGUUAAGGCAGUUGAAUAUUUAAAUUCAGCGUUUGAAGACUGUAUUUAAAUUAUAUUUACAACUAUUAGAAAAGCUUCGUCUUUUAGUGCAGUGGGUUCCAAAAAAAAUAAUCAAUAUCAAAUAUGGCUAUCAUUGUGAAAUGUGUGUGAUUUUAUUUGGUUUGACGUUGCUUUCUAUGCUUUUUGUCUUGUUUUUCCUAUUUGCAGGACAAUUGGCAUGUAUAUCGUGGUGGAUUUUGGAAUUACUUCAGUAUUGGUAAGGAAAUUUGUGCCUUUUAACACAUUAGAAUGUGUGCCUUUUAACACAUUUUACCUAUUCACUGAAUCAACAUGUAAUGCAAUAAAAAAAUAUACGGACAUUUUCAAACAUGGCAAAAUAAAUUAAAAUAUUUACAAAAUACAACAAAAUUUCAAAUUCCUUCGAUAAUAUACUUCUAUCUGUGUCUAUUUUUUAGUAGGUAGAGAUGUUUACUUUAUUUUUUAUUGACUAAAAUAGACCGAUUGAUUCGAAAUACAUGGGUUUAGAAUCAAAUGGCUUCAUUUGAUGGAGCUUUGGGUUUAGAUAAGCAAGCCUCCAACGCUAUCAAUUACUUUUUGAUGUUUCAUCGAAAGAUGUAAGUGUCAAACUCCGCAGUCAUGAUCUUUCUACCAUGCAUCCACAUAUAAUUUCGACUUUUGAUACUGAGCGGCCAAAAAGAGAGUGACUAGCACUUUAGUUUAUUUGAUUAAGCUCUAUCCAAGAAUAGCCCUAUAGCAUAACUCUCCUACAUUAUCAUAACCAUGAUAGUAUUUAAUAAUGAUAUGGGGUCGGAAUACUAGAACUAUCCUUUUUUGAACACCAUAAUGAAACUUAACCUUUGAUAGGGUUUACUAUUGGGUCAUGCCUUCAGUGUUGUAUGAUAGUAUAAUUAUUUAUAUUAGACAUUAGUGCACUCCAUGUAUAAUGAUGAAGCUUUGCACUCCAUGUAUAAUGAUGAAGCUCUAUGUUAAUAUGCUUGCUGCUACAAGUAUACCUAAAAAUAUACCAAUUGAGUUCACCAUAAAUUUGACAAAUGGUCUAUAUUCAGGAAUGGAUGCUCAGGUAUCCUAUGCUUUUCACUCCGAGAGAAAGUUGCAUCCUGAAAACUUUAAGAAUCAAUUGACCAAUCAGGUAUUGAUUUAAAGUUCUCUUCAAGCUUGACAUGACUUAAAUUUUUUAUUAAGAUAUGUACAAAUAAAAAAAAUAAAAAUAAAAACUGUUUUUUUUUCAUUAUAUCUUUUUCACGUUAUUAGUGGGGAGAUUGAACUUGGCGGUCCUCAAUCUGUUGACAAUCCACGACAUUUCCUGCUUAAGUUGUACUAGAAUGUUGUCAGAAAAGAAAUGUAUUUUAUAUUUAUAUUAUUAUCUAGUACAAGUAGUAGUUUUGUUAGAUUUAGCUUGUUCUGUCCAUGAUUAUAUCCAUCCUACAUUAAAUGAUAGAUACCCGCAUGUUUUGCUUAUCUAUAGUUUUUCUAGGUUAUCAUGUGCUUCAAUUGUUUUAAUUGGCCUUUUUUACCAAUACUUUUGUUGUAGUAUUAAACAAUCGAUGUUUUUUUUUGUUGAGACAGAAAGCAUAUCUGAAGAUUGCUUGUAAACAAGGAUGGUUUGUUUCUCCUAUUUGUCAUCCUUCUUCCAGGUAUGUCUUUGAUUAUUUAAGCAUUAGUCACCUGCCUAGAUUGUUUAUAAUACAGCAAGUGUUACAUUCCACACCACGAUAACAUUGAUAUGAGUUGGGUGUGCAUAAACUAGCUCAAACAGCAUUCAUAUUUAUUUAAAAGGAAAAAUAUGAUAGUUUUAUUUUUACCCAUAUUUCUAGAACAUAGAUCAUGUUAUCUGAUGAACGGCUGAUAGAAUCCAGUAUAGAAUAUCAAAUUUCUAUUUGCUUUUUAUUCGAUAAACACAUAUCAUUUACAAUUUCUUUUGCCUUCAAUUGUGAGUUAGAAUGAGUUGAUGCAAUGCAGGAACAUAUCAAAUGUUGUAACGGUGAAGAUUAUGAAGAGGGAAGGUAUAUGGGAGGACAUCGUGAUUCCCUUAAGGUGAUUCAAAAUACUUUUUUUCCAAUUGUUUGGUGCUAUUUAGGGUGUGUUUGGUUUAGAUUAUAAAGUGUUUAAUUUUGCCAAAAAGAACUAUUUUGAAAAAAAAUGGUAAUGUUUGGCAAAUUAAAAUAAUGCAUUUUUUAAAAAUCCAUUUAUAAAAUAAUCUAUUUUGGAGAAAUCUUUAAAAAUCAAAUUCACAUAUAAACACUAAUAAAAAAAGUCUAACCAAACAUUAAGCCUUUAAAUUUUAAACUUAUUUCCAAAAAAAUGUUUAAAAAGAAAUGUAUUAUUGAAAACAUUUAUUUUUAAUUCAAUCCAAAUGGACCCUUAAGAUUAUGGCAUAUUUGAACUUUUCCUUCUCCACAUGGCUGAGCUGAUCUCAUGAAAAAAUGGAAUAACUGGCUUUGACACUUUUUCUUUUUAUUCUCAAAUGCAGUAUCAGAUCUAUAAUUUGUCUUAAUUUGCCAAGUUUUUCUGGUGGACUUGAUCCUUGGGGAGAUCCAAGCAAAAAUAAAUUACGUGAUGUUAGUUACUUUCUUUUUUCCCUCUUAAACCAUGAGCCGAUGUUUAGAUAUGCUGGUUUCAAUUAACAUAUUACACAAAAUUUCACGUUACAGAGAGAUCUAACUCCUCCAUAUGUGGAUGAUGGGCUUAUUGAGAUCGUUGGUUUUAGAAAUGCUUGGCAUGGACUAGUCCUACUUGCUCCAAAUGGACAUGGAACUCGUCUUGGUCAGGUAACUUCAAGCAAAACUAGAAUUGGCUUAGAUUCUAAAACAAGAACAGGCCAACAUUCAUCAUAAUUUAUCUCUUUGUAAUGCCAUGAGAAUGAAAUUAACGUUGAUUGUUCCCGUUCCUAUUAUUGAUGCAGGCAAAAAGGGUUCAGUUCGAGUUUCAUAAAGGUGCAAUUAACCAUGCUUAUAUGAGAAUUGAUGGGGAGCCAUGGAAGCAACCCCUUUCUGUGGAAGAUGACAAGGUGUCUAUAGAAAUUAGUCAUCGUGGUAGAGUCAACAUGCUCGCCAACCUACCUUGCCGAGCUAAAAGUGUGCAUGACCCUUCUUCAACUCACAGUCAUAGCAGCAAAGAUUAUGUUGACGAGGACGAUGAAUUUACAGAAGAAUACGAGGUGGUAAAGAAGUUUGGUGCAGCUUCUACCUUUAAGUAUUUUAACACGGCUGACACAGUUCAUUACCAAUAGGUUUUGACGUUUUGGCUUAUCUUGUUAUCAUGUAUAUGUUUCAUUGUCAUCUGAUCAUCUGACAUGAUUGAUGAAGUAGGUUGCCUCAACUCUAAAGGAUUACUCACAUCUAGGGAGUGUAGAGUAGGACCCCAGUUAUAGAUGUAUGAUAUUACUGUUUAAAUUGAACACCACACUCAUUUGAUCUGCAAAUAUUUGAUUCAUUAUGUGAAAUAUUUACAAGGAUGUUAUUAGAAUUAUCUUAAUUAACAACCGAGCCCUUCAUCAAGAGUCUUGUAUUACUGGACGCCCAUUUGGUUAUACUCUCGUUUACACUUAAGACUUCUUUUCCUAAAAUAUAAUGUAGGUUAAAUUUUAAAACAGGUCAAUUCCUAAAGUUUUGGGCGAAGUUUCAUUGUGUAUUUAAAAGAUUCAAUUUAUAGUUUCUAUAGGUUGGGUAAUACUUUUUGAUUUAGUAUUAACAACAACAAAAGUAAUAUUAAAUUUGAUCAAAUCUUAGUUGGAAUAAUUAAUAUGAUAUAAUAUAAUAUUUUAAAUUUGAAAAUUAGUCGAGGUAGGAGACACAAAAAUUCAAAGCAAUUUAAAAUAUUGGAUUUUUACAAAUUUAAAUGUAGAGAUUUAUGGCUAAUUAUCCACUCGAAAAAAAUGCAUCAAAUUGACAUUGAAAGUCAGUUGGGAUCUUAGGAGAGCCCACCUUAUGUAUUUGAACAAUCAAUUGCAUUGUAAUUAAGAAAGAUAAUGAUAAUUUUAGUAUUUAUAAAAAUUAGAGUCCCAUGAAAUUUGUGCAUUACUUAAAUAUCCUUAUUUGAAUUUCCAAUUUCAUAUUUUUUUUAAUAGGUAAUUAGUUUCUUUCCUAUUUCAAUUUUCGUAUUCUUGUUUUUUCCUUAAAAAAAUAUAUUUUCAGAAUUUCAGAUAUAGCAGUAUAUUCUUUUAGAAAUUUAUUAAUUCAAAAUUUUCAAUGCAUCUCUCCUGUUAAACGUAAGACGAAUGCAAAAUUAGAAAUGUAAAUCUUAGAAAUUUGAGUUUAUAAUGGAUUUUUUUUUUAUUUAUAUAUAAUUACUUUGGAAUAGGAAUCGGUUUAUAUUUUAUUUAAAAUCUUUUAAUUUAGGAAUAGGUAAGAUGAAAUACCUAUUUUAUUUUAUUAAUUGAAAUUUUAAGGAAAAAUCUUAUAUUAGGAAAAAUUGUAUAAUAUCUCAUUUAUUUUAAGAAUUUGAAUUAUAAUUUAGCAGUUAAAAGUAUUAAAAUUCUAAAAAUUGGAUUUUGGAAAAUUUAGAAGAUAAAAAUCAAAUAGAAAAUAACGAUGGAAAUUAAGACAUAUGAAAUAUGAAAUAUGAAUUAAAUCAUUAUUAAUUAUGGAAAUAAGAAUAGUUAAUAGCUUUACCUUUAUAUGAUUAGAAAUUCAGAAUUUGAAUUAGGAACUAGAAAUUAGAAUUUGUUUCUGAAGGAUAUAGACAUUAUGUAAUAUAGUUUUACUGUUACGAAUUCAAAAAAGAACUUAUAAAAUAGUAUUCUUAUUGUUAUUAUUCUGUAUAAUAAUUCUUUCCUAAAAAACGUUUAUUAAUGUUUGAGUUUGAUUUUGAAAUUGUUAAAAUUUGAUUAAUAUGCAUAAUUGGUUGGUUGCAUUAUUAUUUCCAUAUACCUAUUUAAUUUUAAGAUCUAAAAAUCUUUAUAAGUAUUUAAAUCUCUUCUUCGCCAGUUAUUUAUUUAAAGUAUAUCUUUUCUCUUUCCAUGUUUAGAAUUAGGACUUUGUAUCCAUAUUUUUUAACAAAGAUUAAAUUCUAAUAAUAAUAAAUUACUUCUUCAACCUCUCACUUUAUUUUCAACAAUUGUUUGAUAUUGAAGAACCUGUUAUGAAGAGUGAACACCGUUUCUUCCUCCACCGAUAUUCACCAACAAAUCCACCCCGGUGAGCUUCUAUUCCUUUUUCUUAAAUAUUUUAUCUUUCAUUCGCCAAUAAUUCUUUUUUUCAUUCUUUCCUUUAAAUGUACGUAUUGUAUUAAAAAAAAUAUACAAUUUACGUAUCAUUUGUGGCAAAACAAUUAAUAGAAAAAAUCAAUAUACUUCAAAACAAAUAUAUACGACAAUUAAGCUUAUAAUUUUACUCUCUCAUUUGUGAUUAGACACACAUGGAUUGUUUGGAGUCUCGAGAUUGGUCAACACUUGAAUAUGAUGUCCUUGGUAUGAUUCUUAACAAAAUGGUAUCUCUCUAUGACUAUCUUCAAUUUAGCAGUGUAUGCAAGUCUUGGAAUUUUAUUGCCUUACGCUACAAACAUCACCGAUCCUUAAUUACAUCUAACCUUCCUCAACUUCCCAUGCUUAUUGUUCCGUCCGAAUAUGAUAGUGGAAAACAACAUUGUCUUUACGAUCUCAUUAACAACGAAAUCCGUCCUGUAGACUUUGUAUGUUCCUUCAACAAAAGGUGUUGUGGUUCAUCUUUCGGUUGGUUGAUCAUGCUUGAAGACACACUUGAUAUUACUUUGUUUAACCCUUUUAAUGGGAAUGUGAUUCAUAUUCCUCCCAUUACUAUACAUGAUGAACCUGGUUACUCUCCUAUUGCCAUACAUAAAGCCAUACUAACCAAAGAUCCAUCGAUAUAUCCACAGGGGUUUACUAUUGUUGCCAUUUAUAGUUCAUUUCGUAGAUUGUGUCUCAUGGAAGCUAAGGAUAAAAGGUGGAUCUAUCACAACCUAAACAGGAAUAAUGGUUUUGAUGAUGUUAAUGUUGUCGAUGACAUUUUAUAUGUUUUGGAUUGGCGGAUUGGACUUUGGAUUGUGAAAGUUGAGGAUAGCUCAAUUUAUUUGAAGAAGGUCAUAUUUAGUUUCAAUUUUAACGAAGCUGAUAUUGCGUAUCUUAUCGUGUCCUCCAAACGUGAGCUUUUAUUAGUUAGUAGGUUUGUCGUAACGCAAUGGGAAGGACAAGUUCCAAAUGAGAUUUUAAAGUUCACAAGGACUUCCAAAUUUAUAGUCCACAAAGUUACUCAUGAAUGUGAGGAUGGAAUAAUGAGAGUUGUAGAGGUGGAGAGUUUAGAUGGGGAUGUUAUGUUUAUCGGUGACAACCAAUCCAUUUGUGUGUCAACUAAAGAUUUUCCCAAAUGUUUACCUGAUCGCAUAUAUUUUACAGAUAAUUGUCACCAUUUUGCUUUUCCUUAUUUACAUGGACAUCAAGAUGCAGGAAUAUACCGCGUAGAAGACAAGAGUUUUGAUAGACAUUAUAUAGUCAAUCGUGCACACAGAAAUUUGCCUCCACCCAUAUGGAUCAUCCCAACAAUAUCUUACAAACAUCUUGAGGAUCCGUUGCCAAAUAUUUUGAAAAGGAGUUUAUAUUGGAAUAUAGUAUUUAUAUUAAGUUGGUGCUUGGGUAUAAUGUUCCUACUGUGUGGGUGGUUCUAAUUUUGAGAUCACAACUUUACAUUUUUGUAAUUUUAUUGAAUUAAUGUUUAAAUUUUUUAUACAUUUAUUUUUCCUCGAUCUUAGCUUGUGAGUAUGAAUAUAUAUAUAUAUAUAUGUAUAUGUAUAUAUAGAAUGCGUGGAAUUAAUCUUAUAAUAAAAAACAAUUGUGAAAAAAUUAACUACGUAGUGUUUUAAAACAAACAGAAUUAUAAUUUUGAAGUUCUAGAGCAUGCAAAUACCCUCAUUCUUCUUUGAAAGUGAUUUUGGAGGAGAAAAAGUUAUUUUGAUAUCUCAUAAUCAUUCCCAAACAAAUUCUAAAACCCUAGAUAAAUAUAUAUAGUUUCAUUCUAAUUAUUAAUCUAAACCCAUGAUUUUAAUCACUCAUAAUUAAUUUUAUAUACUUAAUUUUAGAGUUUAAAAUAUAAAAUUUUUGUAUAAUCAAAAUAGGUUAUAAAUGAUUUUAGAACGAACAUAUUUUUGUUAUUUUAAAUAACUUUAACAUUUUACCUUAAGAGAUACUUUUUAAAAAAUUUAAAAAUUUAAAACUCAAAAUUGUCUCGUUUGAUUUGAAUUUUGUUUGUAUUAACAAAUGAGAAUUUGGGUAAACAAAUAUUGGAAACUAAAAUUCUCUUUAUUUUAUUUUAUUAUCUAUUUGUAUAUUAUUAUUAUUAUCUAUCUAUUUUCCCUUUCUCUCGAAACUAUGGCUUCUCCUCCCACUUCCUCCUUGGGUUAUCCAAUUAUCAUAAUUAAUCAACCCAAUUAUCAUAAUUAAUCAUGGCGACAUGGCGACCGAAUUCGUUUCGAUUUUAUUAAUAAGAACAAGCCAGUAUAUAAUAGGCAUAGUAAUUAAAUAUAAAAUGAUUAUUCUAUUACUUUUGCAUGUCUUUCCAAAAAUCAACUAGUUUCAUUAUAGAACCAUUGUUUGUUUCUUCAGUUGUCUAGGAAUGAUAUACAUUACAGAACCUAAUUAAUGGCUUAAUAGCAGUGAUUACAAAAGUAAUCAAAUAAUCAACACUAUUACUACUAGUAAGAACAAAUGUCUAUGCCUUGCUUUUCAUCGCCAAUAGGUCCAAAUUGUCUAUUAGGUUUACUCUUCGACUAUCAGCUUUUUCUUCAACUCUUUCUUGUUCACCUGUAAUUCAAGAGCAGUGACAGCUCAAUUAGACAAAAGGAAGGAAUGUGAAGAAAUGUCUCUUGAAAAUGCAACAAACCUUUCCCAUUGCGUUCCGAGGCAGCGAGUCCUUCAACAAUAACAUAGUUGGUAACUGGAAAAAACGUGUCAUAUUAUUAUUAGUUUAUCAAACUGUCUUAACAACGUAUUUACGUGAAAAUGAUGGCAGAUUUACAACUAGAUACUUCUCUCUGAAUUACCUUGUAUGGUGCAAGCUUGUCUUUAGCCCAUGUUCGAAGUUCAUCUAAGCUCAUACUAGGAUUGGACCCAUCAGGUAUUGUCGUUUUCAUGUUAGCCUGAAGCACAACAAUUGCACAGACACGUUCUCCGUAGUCUUUGUCUGGUAAUCCCAACACACAACAUUCUAUGACAGACGGAUGCUGCACAAAGUGAUUUAGUCAGUAGUCAUUCUUUCUUUUGUGUGCUAGGGGGUCCUCUCUCACUUUCCUUAAGAGAGAGAUAAUAGAAGGAUCGAUGGAGCUACCUGCAAAAUCACUGAUUCAAUCUCUAAUGCUGAUAACUUAUAUCCCCCAACUUUCAUGAUAUCGGCACUCAAACCUGAAACAUCAGAAAAGGGAGGGAAAAAAAACGAUUCAAUUCAUGGCAUAGGUUAUUAUUAGCACAAACACUUUAAGAUAGUUUUUCAAAUUAUCAAGACUUAAAUUAAUAGAAAGAAUAGAACGUCGAAUUAAAUAGCAACCAUAUACAAAAAGGAGAAUGUCAAAUCAGUUAAAUUAACUAAAUGUUGAGGCUAACCCCACAAUUCACAUGUUGCAAAUAUUAGGUGGCUCACACUAUCAAGAGAGUUGUGACCAAAACAAAAUCGCAUAAGAGGGAGUUGAAUCCCUUAUGUUGUUGUUACCCACUUUGGAUAUACUUACAAGUAAACUCUAUUGCUUAUUGUCACCUGUGAAUGUGGGAGCACAUCACCAACUAGGAGGGUUUUAAUAAAACGUACUAAAAUAUGCAUAGCUGACAAGAGCUUGAAGCUGAUAAAGUUAACGUUUGCAAAGUGGUAUAAGUAUGAUGAGCAUGCAAAGACAUCUCUGAAAUGCUUUGUUAACAACUUUAAGUUAUCAGAUGCAUGUACAACCCUACUCUGACAGGACUAGCAAAAAGAUGGAACAUGGAAAGACCCAGCGCCAUUCUCAUGCCUGGACAAGGAAGCAUGUUUGAUUCAACAGGGUCGAAGCUAAUGCUAUUGUCUAAUAGGUAUCAAUUCAUUACUCCAUCACCAUCACAUGCUCGAAAAAUAAAACAUGCAUUCGAUUUGCAGGUUAUAGGAGUGAAAGCGUAAAAAGAGCUCAGGCAUCCUAUAAAUAGAAUGUAUGUUAUAAGUAACUUACGUCCUAGUAUGAUGUAGUAACCACCAUCUUCAUCAAGUCUAGCAGCAUCUCCAGUCUUGAAGAAACCACCAUCAAUAAAAGAUUCUUUGGUAACCUACAGAAAGAAAAUCAUAGGAUUUAUUUGAAUCAAUUACAAUUCCUCCUUUUAUUAUUUUUUUUUUCUUCUCCUUUUUAGUAAAAGGUACAAGUGCAGGGAGAAAAUUUUAAGCUAGAAUAGAAGUUUCAAACUAAUUGAACUUUAUCAGUUGAAAUGCCACAUAAUUUUUUUUUUCUCCAUUUGAGAAUUAAAAAAUAUGUAGAGUAGAAGAAUUUGAACCUCUAACCUCUUGGUUGAGGUUGAGGGAGUCAAGAAUAUAGUGCCUCAACCAAUUAAGGUUGUGCUCACAUUGGUAGUUCGUUCUUCAAUUUUUUUGACUAGUGCAUUUCAAGCUUAUAAGAAUAAUACCACAGUAUUUAAGGUGUCAUUCAUAUUUCUACAAUUCUACCUACCUCGGGAAGCUUCCAAUAUUCUUUAAACAUUGAAGGGCUCCUAAUACACAGCUCGCCCUCCAAGCUUGAAUCAUUGGUACUCCCAUCAUCUGCAACAAUCUUGGCCUAACACGUGCAGAGUGUAGCAUUUAAAAGAAAUUUGAAGAGCAGAGAGACACAAGUAGUGAAUACAAUCCAGUGGUAAGUAGUUUUUUCAGUAUGACUUUGAAAGGAUGGCAGAAAGUUCAUCUCAUUUGUCAGAUGCAAAGGUUAACAACCACUAGUUUUACGGGCUUAUUACAUCUUUGCAGUUGAUAGAGUUCACAUCACCCGUUAAUACUAUUUAAUAUAAAUGAUCAUGCCUUUACUAUCUACAGGACUGUAAUAACAUGUUUCUUAAGAUGAGCAAUCAAAUUAUACCAAAAUGCAAUACGUUUAGUUUUUAUUUUAUUUUAUUUUUCUCCUUACUUUUUAUUUUCUCUUUUAAGUUCAUGCUCUCCCCAAAACCAGACUUUGUAAACAUCUACGCUUUCCUUAAUUAAGCUCACCCAAAAAUUCAAACAUACAACUUCUUGGUAUGUAUGACUUUGAGACCUUUAGCUUUUCUAGCGUGCGCCAGUUGGAAUUAUGCAAACUUUCUUCAUCUAUUCUGUGAAAAAAAAUGAACUGCUCGGGGAGUGAAUUUCAAAAUCUAUGAAGGAAGGAGCUUUAAAACCUUCCUUUGUAAGUAUUCGCUUGUCUUUGUUCUUUUGGAUUGGGCACCUUUCCUACAAUUUUAUCUGUACCUGCUUUUUUUUUUAUUUGUAUGCCCUCGAAUAUCCUUUCAUCUCUUUCCAAGAACCUUAGUUUCUUAUUCCAAAAAUAAUAAUAUAAAAUAAAACAAGAAUUUGGUAUUUGUCCAUUCGUAGAUGGAGCAUCCUUGACAAGGGCUUCUUGAGACUACCAAUCUCUUUUCCUAAAUACUAACAAGAAGACCCUUUUGCAACUUUUGUGAGCUGCUUUGAUUAUGGAUUUUUUGUGUGUCGAGUGUGGUGAUCAGGAGGGGGGGAGUACUAACCUCCACGCCAGGGAAGGGUUUGCCAACAGUUCCAAUCUUUCUCUGACCAUUUAAAGGAUUUGAAAUUGCCAUGACAAACUAAAAAAGCAUAAUUGAGAGGAUAAUACUUUAGUGUUUUUUCUAGCAACAAAAAAUAAAAUGAAAAGAAAUAAAAUGGUGUGAUGUCACUAGGAUACAACCUUAAUAAAUUCUCAAACUAAAUUCACUUACUUCGGUCAUACCAUAUCGUUCCAAAAGUUCAUGGCCAGUUACUUCCUUCCAUUGUUUCAUGAUAGGAGGAGGAAGUGCAGAAGAGCCACACAUCUGAAGGAGAUAAGAGUAAAUUUUAAGGUAAAACAAGGAACUUUGGUAGCAGGAUACAGUUAAAAUACGUUAGAAAGACCAAAGAACAUACCAUAGCCAGAGUCAAUUAUCGUACUAUACAAGAUAUUUGCUACUUUGAAACCCCCAAAGAUAACAUUAUUAGGUUUGAUAAAUGAACCGUUCAUAAUUAUGCAAAUAUUUCAGGAUCCUUUCUUCCCUCAAACUCACCAUAAGGCGCAACUGUCUUGCAGCAGAGGCAGAAGCAAGCUGUAGCUCUGAAUCCAUUGCUUCAUAACCUUGUAACAAUCGAGCAUACAUGGUCGGAACCUAUACAUCCACAGAUAUUUGAUUGGAAAACGUUUUAAUAUUUAAGAACUUUUCAAUAUGAAAAAUGUUAUAGAUCCCAAAUAUAUUGAGAUAUGAAAGAUAACCAAACUAUGAAGAAAAAAAGAAGUCAUAGAGGUACAUGGCCUCCCAAUCUUGAGAUCAUUGUCAAGCCUUAUUCACUCACCAAAAUAUUGCCAACAUUUUUCCCUUGCUCACUUUCUCUAUUUAUAAGAAACUAUCAUAACAACUUCUUUAAUUGCUAAUAUGCUCUUAAUACUCUAAUUAUUUCCUAAUAGCAUUCCUAUCAUUAUGAUGCUUCAAUGGGUAUAGUUUUUAACCUCUAUAAUAAUAUUAAUUCAUUAAAUGAUCAAUAAUUGACAGAAACAUGCAAAAUAAAGAGCAUAACCAAAAAAUAGUUAAUUCAUUAAGGCAGACAGCUAAUCAUUGUAAGCAAUCCAAUUGGAGUGACUUCAUAGAUACAUUUGAGAGUGUUAAAUUCCAUUGUGACUUGUGUUUGGUAAGCUUUGGCAUCAUGUCGUAUUUAAAAUCUAGGCAACAAGGCCGUAUAACAUUUAAAAAAAAAAAUGCAACCUCAGCAAAAGAACUGUGCGUACCCCGGUAAAAACAGUUAUAGCAUCAUCAGAUUUAGAACUCUUGGAUGGAUAUGAUUCCCGCCACCUUUUCCAGAUACCACUGACACUAAAUUUUGGCAUAAACUCAACCUUGAUUGGAAACAUGAAAAAGAAGCCGAAGUCAAGCUGACUUUGAAAUUGAGCUAGAACUUUUAUGCAUAGAACAACAGAAAUGGGAAAAAAACCUAAUUUCAAAGAAAUCUCAAUAAAGUUAAAUUACCGUGGAACCUGCAUAGAUAGGAGCUAACAAGCCAUUGAACAGCCCAUGAACAUGUGCAUUACUAGUUAACAUCAACAAUUUUCCACUCCAUCGUAAGUUGCAGAAAUAAGACAAUUAAAGCGAUCCUGUGAAAAAUGAACAUAAUUCAAGGAUAUGAUGCAGGGGAAGACAAUGCAGAAAUUGGUCAGCUGAUGUAUAUUCCCAAGCAUUUGACAACAUUUGAACCUGAAAUUAGACCAAAGGAUCCAAAAAAAAAUUAUAUCAAUUAUGAAUGCUGGACCUCACACAUAUUAUUGUUAUUAAUUCUGUGGAGUGAGGUCGUUUAUCAUAAUUUAUCACACACAUAAGAAGAACAUGCCAUACCUGUGAAGUGAUGCUUUUAUGAGUGUGAACAACUCCUUUUGGUUUACCAGUUGUACCACUAGUAUAAAUUAUCAAUGCAGGAUCAUCACCUUCACAUUUGAAAUGAGAAAUAAAAGACAUGUUUGAUGGGUACAAUCCAUAAGUUUACAAAGCAAUUCAAUCCGCUAUCUUACUCAAGUUCUCUACUGUCCCCUGAAAAACUCUAUCUGCAUCUGCUGCAUCUACUUCUAUAUUGGUUGAUUGAUCAUGAGAGUUUCUUUCUGAAUAAAUAUGAGGAACAGGUGGAAUAAGAGAAACUGUUGCAACUGUUUUAGCAGCAACACUUUGCAUAAAUUCAACAUGAUCUUCAGUACUCAGUAUCAUGGAGACCUCCUACAGUCAAGUAAACUGUUAAAUACUUCUACAACUUUCCUCACACAAAGGGAAAAUAGAAAUAGAUGUUAAGAUGAACUAGUCAAAGUAGAAUUUUCCAGUAAUAAGACAUUAGAAGGGAGAAAAAGUUAUGAGAGGGUAGGCAAAACCAAACCGAAUCAUUCAAGACAUGUAAGAGCUCAGCCUCUGGAUAGCUGAGUGCAAGUGGAACAGCAACACCUCCACUAAACCAAGUUCCCAGCACUCCAGCAAGAAAUUCAGCCGAGGGUUUUGCUACAAUGCCAAUUUUUGCUCCACCAAGAUGCCCAUGACCCUUCACAUCAUUUAAUAAGAUUAUGAAUCAAUUAAGUGAUUCAAAGUGGUCGAAAAAGCGAUAAUGGUACACUUCAUCAUACUUCAAAAAAUGUAGCAAGAACUAAAAGUUUAGUCAUCCCUCGAGCACUGAAACAAUUAUUUAAAUGGUGCAAUGAAUCCAUUAGUGACAUUUUUUUCUGGAAUAAAAAGGAAAUUACAUUUUGAAGUUCAAUAUCAAACCAAGUCAACAUUCUGCUUACUACAAUCUCAUGACAAAAACAUCAAUUAGACCUUCUGCUUGCUAUAAUCUCAUAACAAAAUCACGUACAAAUAUACCAAGCAAACGCCACAGUAUCAAACUAAAAUAUCCAGUUUUCACCAUAUAAAGUAGACAUACAGUUCGUAGAUCACUGCUAGUCAAUAGAUCAGAUAUCUUUAGUGCAGAUGAGAUCAGUUGUAUGUAACUAUGACUUUUCUGGUUAGCUCUAAUAGCAACAUUCUCACGGCAAGUUGCCCCAUGCUUUGCAGCUGAUUUGACCACCUCCAUGAAGGUAUAAGAACUUAAUACUGCAUAACAUGAGAAGGAAAUAAUAAUCAGAAUAAGAACAUAUAUAACAGUUAACACGAUACUUUUAUACUUCCAAUUGGUGGAACCUAAUGCAUGUCAUGUAGAACUUCAUUCAGAUUAUUACAAAACUAGCUCCCGGAAGUUCGUUACUAGCUAUAAAUUUAACAGAAGAAAUGCCAUGGUGGGGUUUCAAGCUAUACAUUCAUGAAAGCUAGCAGAAAGGUGAUCUUCUACUAUGCUCUAAAGAUCCCGGCCCACCACGCAAGGUAAGUGAGAGGGAACCAUAAUGGGAUCAAUCGUCAUGACUGAAGGAAAGGUCUCAGAAUCAAGGAGAUUGUAAUCAUUGACUAGUAGCAAUGGCAUGAUUGAGCUUCAAUUAUACAUUCUAGAAAUCAACUAAUUCCACCCCAAGUAAAAGUCAAAAGAUACAACUACUCAUCCCAAAAACAUAAGAACAAACAAGCCCAACUAGCUGGUGACAGAGUAGAUGAACAAAACAACUUCAAAAACCAAACCCACAUAAGAACAAUGGAAAAUAAAUUUCCAAUCAACUAUGUAGAGAAACUUUCUAAAUGACCCAGAAACCAAAAAUUAAAAAAAAAAGCAAAACAAAUUUCCCAUCAUUACCCAUCUUUUCAUGAUUUCCCACAAUAAACAAACAACUAAAAAGGAAGAAAAGUCACCUGAAAACAACCGAAAACGUGAAAAACAGAACUUGGGAAUGCUCUUCCCAAUACAAAAGCAAGCAGAACUCGAUCGAAUGGCAAUCAAACGAGAAGAGGGAAGUGAAAGAUGAGAGAUACGAGUAAAUAAAGAGGUGGGGUUAUUAAAUGUAGAAUAGUUCAUGAAGAAAAGGUAGGUGGCUAAGAAGGAAAAGGGCGGUGAGUCCUAACUACUUGUGUACAAUAUAUUAUUUGGUUAUGGAGAUGGUAGACGAAAACGUUUAAUCAAAUUGAAUAGGUAAUAAAUUGACCAUCUGGGGACAUUCAAGUGAUGGGUUUCUGUGAAUGGGGGGGUCAAGACGUUGGUCGAAAUCGCUAUCGAAGUAUUCAGUUUGAGGCACCGCCAACAAAUGGAGUUGUUUAUUUAGGAUGACAAAUCCGAAUGUAAGCUGUUUAAUUCAUUUAAGAAAGAGUGGAAGCUUCUCAAGUUUUAUAACUGAUCUGUGAUUUGCAUCACUCUGUUAACUAAGGAGAAAUGUAGUAACUGUGCUUCAAUUUAUCAACAAAUGAGGGAUUGUGUUUUCCACAAAAUGAUUGAGAAUUAUUUAGGUAUUUUGAUUUGCUUUCUCUUUCACUUGUAGAUGUAAACUUAGCUCAUCAUUGUCAUUACUCCACAAGUUUAUGAAUUUCAUAUUUUCUUUAUUAUCUGCUAGUAAUGUUUUAAAAAACUAAGCCAAAUUUUUAAAACUAGAAAAAAAUGUUUUAGAAACUUGAUUUUUAUUUUUUAAAUUUGGCUAAAAAUUCAAUUAUUCUAUUGAAGAAUGAUACAAAUGGUUGAAGUAACGGAGAGAAAAUAAGUUUUUAUUUUUUUUAUUAGUGAGGGUUUUUGCUAGCUUAUGCGCCCUUCAAUUUAAUCCUACGUGACAAAAAAAAAACUUAAUCUAGUUAUCAAAAACCAAAAAUUAAAAAAAAAAAAAUGAUAUAGUUAUCAAACAAGUCUUACCAAUUAAAUUUAGGGUUAUUUGGUCACAACCAAAAUAGUGAAAUCUUCGAAUUAUCAAUAAAACAUUCAAAUAAAGUUUAAAAAAAAAAACGUAAACUUUUAAAAUAAAGUUUUAGAAUGAUACCCUUAAUGCUUUUUUCAAAAUAUCUUUCAAAUUUCUUUAAUUGUAUCGAAUAUGUCAUUGACCUUAAAAAAGUUUUUAAGAAAAACACCUUAGUAUAUGAAUGGAAACUAUUAAUUUUUUAAAAUUUGAAAGUUCAAAAGUAUUUUUGAAGAAAAGUUAGAGGAUCCCAAAACCAAAGGAUUAUCUAAUCAAACGGGGGAAAAGACUUAAUUAAGAUGGAAACUUUGUUGGCAUUUGGACUACUAUUAACAAAAGAGAUCAACAACCCUGAUUGAGUAGUUUCCUCGUAAAUCAAACUACCAAAUUCUUGAUUUCUAAAGUACAUCCGUUAAUAUUUAAACAUUGACAAUCUUCAGUCAUUCGGCUUCAAUGACGAGCUUAAACAUGCAUGUCGAAGAUUUUUCUAAUACUACAAUAAUAUCAUACUUUCUUUGUUUUAAUGAAAAACAAAUGAAAAAAUGGAAAUAGUUUCUAAACAAAAAAGAUAUUUGAAGGGAAAAUUUGUAAGGAUGUUUAGGAACAUUUAGACAGUCACAUCUGCUUUGUUUGUAUGAUUUUUCAAUGAGGAUAUGAUAUCUUGAAAUGAUGUAUUAUUCCAACCACACUAUUCUAUUUCAAUAUAAUUUCUAUCUUAAUUUGAUAUAACAUACUUAAAUUUAUACAAUAUUUCAGUGUCUUCGAUAGUGUAAUAUUUUAUUUGGCCAAGAAAAACAAUUUCAUAUUUAUUGUUGUAAAUAUGAAAUAAACAUAAAUGAUAUUUUUUAGUAUAACCAUUCAAGCUUGGCUGAUUCAAACUUUCAAAUCAUCUUAAUUAUGAUUAAGUUCAACUCGGUUUGAUAUAUAAAAAAAUGACGUUAAAUAUUAAUUUUAUUACACAUAUUUGAAAUAAUUGAUUUUUAAGAGGAAGCAUUGGAUUACAUGAUUGGUACUACUAUGGUACAUGAAUAACCACUUUUUCUCAAUAAAUUAGAGACUACUUGAAAGAAUCGAUAUUGUUUUAUGGAUAUAGAUAUUAAAUAUAUGUAAUUUGAAUGUUUGAAUUUUAAAUGUUUAGAAUAAUUAAAUUUGUGUGUUUAAUUCAAUCAUUUAUAAAAAUUAAAAUUAAAUUUAACAUAAACUAGUUUAUUGUUAUGUUAAUAAGUUAUUUAGUUAACAAAAUGAAAAAUAAAAUAAUAACUUCUAAAGGAAUGUAAAUAAAUUAAUUACUAAAAAUAAUUAAAUUAAUAUUAAAAUAUUGAUAAUUAACAACAAUAAUUUAUACUAAACGGUUAAUAACAUAAAAUAUUGAUGGUAAAAAUAUUUGUUAAAAUUUAUUAAGACUAAAUAAUAUAUUUAUAUUCAAUAAUUAACUAAAAUUAACAAUAAUAAAUAAUUGAUAUUAAUUUAUAAAUUAAUUAAAUAAUAUAUCGGUUGUUCAUCUCCCAAACAUAAAAGUCCCACAUUUUUAUAAGUUAUUAAAAAAUUGGUUUAAUUUUAAAAUUGGUAGAUAUCUUGAAUUUAAAGAAAUAAAUUUAUGUAAAACAAACAAGGAUACUAAAGAUAUGUAUGAAAUUACAUGAGAAAACUUGUAAAACAAAUUGGAUCUUAGAGUCUCGAUUGAAUUGAAAAGAUAUAUAUAUUAAAGAAAACUCAUUUUUUAUUUAAACAUGUUAAAUAAAAAUAGUUCAAAAUACAUUUGAAGAGUUAUUUGGAAUAGUUAUCAAACACUUUAAUGUUUUCGGAUUUAUCUACUUUCCAUCAAAAUUUGCUUUCAAAUACAUUCAUAAAGAAUGGACCAGUGGUGGGGGAAGACAGAAAUGGCAUCUACCUCUUCUUUGUCAUCUGAGUAAUCCACAAAUUUUAACAAAUUCAAAAUCUUAGAGAAAAGGAAGAAAUAAGUUGUAGAAACAGAACCAGAACCACACACACAGAUUGAUGGAUGAGAAAAUUCAACAGGUUUUCCAUUUGUUUAUCAAAACAUGGUUUGUGUUGGAGGAGGAACUUCCAUUGUUUCAUUUUGUGUUGCUUGUCUUUGAGCCAAAAUUCCAUUCCAUCCUGUGUACACAACAAAGUUACAUUAACAAAUUAUUAAUUUAACUUUCCAAACUGCCUUGGAAACUAAAAGCCUAAUGCAUCAUUUCUGUUAUUUCCAUGGUUACUCUAAAAACACGCCUUAAACUAUUAAGCAAAGACUGUUUGGUAGCUGGUAGAAGUGAUUAGCAAGUGUUUAAGAACCAUACAAAGUCAUUAUUCUCAAGACUUGGGCAAUGUAAAAUAAAAGAAAUAGAAUUUAUAAGUACCUAAAGCUGGGUCAAGUCCUCUUUUUCGAAGUUCUCUAAACUCUUGGCAAAGUGAACAACAUGGGCAGAACACAUGAGAAAUGAUAUCAGUAUAUGGAGCUUCUACCAAAUUAUAUCUCUCUCUCAGUCUUGUUCUGUAUUUUGAGCCCAUCAACCAUUGAGAGCACAAAGCAGGCAUCAUCAAAGCAUAUAUAAGACUUCCCAAAGGACAGGCUGCAAUCAAUAUCACGCAUAUAUUAUCAUCCAGAAUGUUAAAGAAAUCGACAAACAACGUAGAACAAUAGAGAAUUGACACAUAGAUUUAUGUGGUUCACUAGCUAUGUCUAGUGACAAGAUGGAGAAAGCAAUUUCAUUAAAUAUAAGAUCUCGGACACAAUUUUAAAACGGCAAAAGGUAAUCUGAGAAAAGAAAGAAGUUGAAGGUUAAAGGAAAGCUUUACUCAAUUCUCCUUGAUCCAUCACUUCUGCAAUCUGUCCAAAUGUAACACAUGGUAGGAAUGCUGUCAUGACCGCUGCCAAAUAGAAACUAAUGUGUAAAAGAUAUGUUCAAAACCCUCCAUGUAUAACCAUACCCUUUUAAAUAGUGAACAAGAACUUUUAACAGUCAACAAUUAAAUAAAAAAGAACAGAAAGAUUAAGGUUUACACUUCUGAUUCUUGAACACUUGUGAAAAUAACAAUUUAGUCCUAACAGUUGUAAAUUUAUAACAAUCUACUUGUUGUGCUUUAGUAUGUAACAGCUUUUUCCCUAUAUGUUAAAUUUUCUUAAAAUUUUCAUCAAAAUUAAGUACUUAGUUUUCGUUAGCCUUUGUUUUUUAUAAACACAUAUGGUCCCUAAUCAAUUUAUGAAUCUACAUAUGAAAGAAAGUCUUAGUGAGUCAUACCAAUACUUUUUCUUCCUAUAGACUAAAUCAUUACCUAGGAAGGUUUAGAAGCUAAAGUCCAAUUGGAUAACCAUUUUUCGUUUUUUUCUUUUUGGUUUUUGAGAAUGGAGUCAAUAGAUAACACUCCUUCUACCUUUAAAUUUCUUGCUUUACCAUCUAACUUUUACCAUUUUUUUAAAAAAAAACAAGCUAAAUUUUGAAAAGUAAAAUAGUAGUUUUAAAAUCUUGUUUUUGUUUUUGAAGUUUGGCUAACAUUUUAACUCUUAGUACUUAAGGAAGAUGUCAACUAUUCUAAAAAACCGAGAGAAAAUAAGUUCAUUUUCAAAACAAAAAACGACGUGGUUAAAAAACGGAGCCUAAGUUGUUAACAAAAAUUGUCUAAGAACCCUCUUCUUAGUGUUGGAUAAAAUCAUCCAUCUCAAAGAACCAAAAACAUCAUAUACACAAGUUGAAAACACAACAGAAACACGAUAAAACAAUCUUCCAAAGUAGAGAGUCAACCUUAGAAACAUACAUAGUCAUCAACCAAAUUACGAGCAAAAAAACGAACCAUUUGUUUCAUCUUCAUGGCAAUCAAACAAUCCAGUGCUCCAAACAUUCCCACGGACAGUAUUUGCCUGAUACAUAGUUGGACCUGAGAACUCAGUUUCUAGUGUAUCCCCACCACCACCAUAAUUAGUAGCUGGAUUCCCUGUAUUUGCUUCAUACAUUCUUGGACCUGAAAAUCCAUGUUGAGCAGAUUGUGUAGUUCCACCAUAACCAUUAGCUGAGCUUCGAUCCAUCUGUUCUUCACCACAGAAGUAUCUACCCGAAGAUGAAUAUGCAAUAUGCCAGAUGUGUUUUGUACCUUGAUUGCUUGGAAAUUGGUCUUUAAGGAGUUUUCAAUGUGAAAAUCUUCUCCCCUCCAACUGUACGAUCCUUCCACUCACUAAUCAUAAAAAACAGAAGUAAGACUUUGAAUAAAGAGCUGGGUCAACUAAGUUUAUCGUUUAAAUUGAAGUCAACUAAUAAAAGAACAGCAAAGCCCCUUUGUUUGAAUGUCUGAUUGGAUUUACGUGAUUUCUUAAAUGAAGACAGAUCUGAGUACCAAAACAUUUUGGUGGCUGCGUUAGUCGUUGACUCAAUGUAACACCAGUUGGAUAGUUGACAACUUGACAUAGCAGCCAACCAGACUUCCCUGCAGCAAGAAUCUGCCUGUGCCAGCACAUUGAUCCAACAUAGUUUGCUUCUCGUAUGAGGUCAAUGGAUUGAAGGAUUGAAUGGUCCUUUUGGGGUUUUGAUAUUAAAAUGAAAAUUGGAACUCGUACAUAAUUGUAUGGUGAUGUAAGAUUUGGGCUAAAAUUGAAAUUACUCGACUUUUUAAAACUUAGGUUAGUUGACCUUUUGCUUACGUUUUAUUAUGGUUGCAUUGUGAAUCUCGUUCUUGUUUUCUUGUUUCUCGCUCUCAAUUUUUGUUUUUUGUUUUUUCUAUUUCCCUUUUUGUAUGACUAAAUGUUCGUGCUCUUUGCUCUUAGAAGAGAAAUAAACUAAAGGACAAAUGAGAGAGAAACUAAAAACAAGAUAUAAGAGCAAGGACAGAAAACUAAAACAAGGCCAAGAAACGGGAGCAAGAACUAACAAAGUGAAGAUAAACCGAAACAAGGAAUAAAUGAAAGCGAGUGCGCGAGUUCAAAAUGUGAACUCUCGUUUUACUUCAAUAAUAACAUCAAUAAAAUACUAUAUAACAUUAGUUUAAUAGAUGGGCACAAUCACAUCUGGAUCCUCUUUAGGCCAUCUAGACGAAGUCCCUUAAACUUCUUAAGUUUCCUCCUUUUUGUUCUUAAAACUUGAAAUAUAUGGACAGUCCAUUGAAUCGUAAUAAUAUCUUUCGUAGUAGAGACUAAACUAUUACAAAUAUGAAUACAAAAAUUAAACUCUUUACACAACACUUUAGGACUAGAUUGUUACAGAAAUUAAAUUUGUUCCAAACUAACUCAAUUCUCCACAAUCCAUCACUUCAGCCGUUUGUUCAAAUGUCUUAGAUCAUAGAAUUUCUCACUACCGCUGCCAAAACACAAACUCAGGAUGAGGUUGACAUCUUCUAAAUCCCAAGAUAAAUACUAACAUAGUAAUAUUUCUUCUUAAAAUAGUGUUUCUACACAUGUAACCUAGGGAAUCUAAGCAACUAUUAAUUUAAACACCCAUUAACUGGAUUUUCUGCAAAACAAAACUACCAUUUUGUCCAUCUUCCAGAUAUAAUCCAAGUAAGCCAGUGCUCCAAACAUGUUCUUUGGACAGCAUUUCUUUAGUUAGGGUGCAUAUUUUCUCCCUAACUAGUAUCCAUCUGAUACUUGACAAAGAAUAUAUACACAAAGUUGAAUUUGCAAUGCUUGUUCUGUACGUACCUUAAUUCCAUGGAGGUUGGUCUUUUAAGGAGUUUUGGAUGGUGGAAGUUUUCCCUCCAUCCCAUCCCUAUCACACUCCACUCACCAGCCGUAAGAACAAAAGCAAUAAAACUAAAUUGAAGAGUCGUCAACGAAGGUUAAUUUAUAAAAUGGGAGGCUACAUUAUAAAAGAAAUUUUGUUCUUUGUUUAAAAAGAAUCCAUAUUCACUCAAAAGUUGUAACAUUACCACCCACCUUCCAUAAACAGCUCAAAACUAUCUUGGAGCAUAAUCCUUUAGAAUUUUAAAUGAAAAUAGGGUCCAGGAAUAGUGUGAUAACAACCUGGAAUUGUGUGGUAAUCCAAACUUCUGUUCAUUGGUGUGUUUCCUUCAGAGAACCCUAUGAACCUAACUAGGUAACAUCUAAACUGGCGAUAAGAAACAAAUAUAAACAGAAUUGUAAGGUGCAAGUUCAUAUUCACAAUGUAGGUAACAUUUUUUCUAGCAAAAGUAAUCAUAAAACCAUCGUUGAGUAUAAUACAGUACAAAAAUUGUAAUGCUUUCAGAUUUGUAAUCUAAUGUGUAGAUCUUCAACAUACUCUGAAACUCUUUGAACUGUUGUUCGAGCUAGCAAUAAGGAGCAGUUGCCUCAUUGCCUACGCCAAUUCCUCCACCAUGAAGAAGGGGUUCUCUGAGAAGGCGGAGGUGAGAGGAGAUCUAACAUGGUUUGCUUCUCUUUAGGGGUCAAUGGAACACCCCUGACCAGAUUUAAAGCCAUGAUGUGAACAUUAGACCUUUGCUUGUGCUUACUAUAAGCCCAUACUCCUACAGCAGCACCAGCCACUAUCACCUAUUCCAAAGUGUAAUAUAUUUAGAAUUAAAAUUAGAAGAAAUAGGAUGAACUAUUUGCUUAAUUCUGAAUUUCACACACAUUAACUGACCGGUGAUAGCCAUAAGCCUGCAGUUUGAAGGUCAAACUUUGGGGUAUAAAGGAUCGUCUCCCCAUAAUCAUUCUCAAGCUUUUUGUAGAUAUCUUUGUCCGAUUUCCCAGACCGAAUCUCAUCACGAAUCAACUAUGGUUACAUAACAAAUACAACCCAAUGUGAAGCAAAUUUAUUGCAAAGCAAUAUUCAUCCAAGAAUUAUUGGCAGGUAACUCAACAAAUAUGUGAGAAAUCGUUGUGUGGCAAAGAUUCAAGGUCUGGUAUAACCUUCUUUUUCAUUCAUCAUUAUGACAUAAGAGGCACCGUGAUCAAAUGAAGUUAUUUAAAACUAUGCAUUAUUUUAAAAUUUCCAAGGGGAUGGCAACAUAGAUGGUUAUUUUGUAGAUAAUCUACUAAUCCAAAAGAAGAAUUUUUCAUUAAAAAAAAUUGAUUUAUUUCUAUUUCCUUCAAGUAGUUUAUGAAAUAGAGAACCACUAAAUACUAUAUUUCCCAUUGACAUGAACCAUCUCUUGUGAAAGUUUCGACCUCCAUUGAUACUUGCCAGAGAGAUUGCAGGAUUUCUGGUUCAAAGUAUGCCCCCAUUGACAAGUUAGAAUUUUUUUUUUUUUUUUUUUUUUUUUUGGAUUGAGAUGAUUUUCUAGUUAUUUGGAUUACUUGGUUUAUUGACCUUCAGUAACUGCAUCCUCUCCUCCUUUACUUGUAAGAGUAAAUUAGUAUUAUAAUCACAAUUACAAGAAGCUUUAGUAACUACACUUCUUCCAAGCCAUUUUCAUCAGAAAUCUAGUAUCCAUAUUUCUGAAUUUCAUCAUUGAAAAGAGAAAACAAAAAGGCAAUUUGCACAAGAGAGAAGAAGUGUUAGUUAAAUUAUUUAGAUUGAAGUUAACCUAAAUAACCGAUACCUUUCUGAGGAGAAUCGCAAUAUCUGCUUGUGAAUCUUCAAUGGAUUGACUACCACACUCAAUACACCUAACAUUGUGACUAAUAUUUCUUGCUCGGGCUUCCACUAGCUGGGUUUUUUUCAGAGCAUCCUCAUCGGUCUCCAUUUCAGACACUGUGAAACCUUAAGCUCUGACCCAACUGCAACGCAAGAAAAUACCCAGAAAUCAUUGAAUGCAAACUGCAAGUUAAAGAUACAGCUCUGAUAAAAAUCGAGCAAGUCAGAGAGAAAAGUUUAGCAGAUCAAAUUCCAGUUAGAAAUUACUCUGAUAGGAUGGAAGGGAUGAAUUCUCGUUAGGACAAUACAGGGAGAGACGGCUCACCUCAAUCAACCCUACCAAGAAAAAGCAAUAGGAUAAUAAGGCCCAAAAGGGUGGUGGAUCUAAAGAAUUAAAGUAUGGAUGGGUGUUUGGCCCAUGGGUUUUCAACUUAAGGGUGUUCGGCUUUGUUGUUUGAGCACUUAAAUAAAAUUCCUGUCAUUAACAAUGAGUUUGGAAUAGCAUAUGUUUCAUUUGUAUGAAUACCAUCAAUUUUAGAAAAAAAUUCACUUCUUUUAUCAAUCAUAAUUCAUAACAAAUGUUGGUCAAUUUCAAAAUCAACUAUUAAUGACCAACCGUGACCGAUCGACAGUCACAAUGACCGAUUGUCUUGAUUGUCAGCUUUGGAUCGUCUUGAUCAUUGGCUUUAGAUCGUCUUGAAUGUUGAUUAUCAAUCGUUUUGACCGUUAAUGAUUGACCAUCUUGAUCGUUAGUGACCUACAACUUUGGACGUCACUGUCAUCAAGUGAACAUCUUGAUCAUUGGCGUCCAAUCGUUAUAGUUAAGGAUUGAUUGUUGUGCCUAUUAACAAAGGAUCAUGGUGAUGGUCAAUGAGCAAUAGUCAUGACCUUUGGCAACCAACUGUCAUGACAGUCAGCGGCCAACCAGUCUUCUUAAUCAUUGGCGAUAGUUGACAUCAUUACUAGGGGUGUUCAUGGUUCGGUUUGAAGCUAAAACCACAUUAAACAAAAAAAAUACAAAAAAAAAUCUUGUUUGAAAUCGAACCGAACUACUCAUUUAUGUCAAACUCCCACUUAUGCAUAAAUAUUAUAAUCGAAAUCCUUUAUGAACAUUAUACGUAAAUAAGUCCUACAAAGUUACAAACAUAGUUUAAAUUAAUUUGUACAGUAAUUAAGUAGAAGAUAUAUAUAAUUUUUUAAAAUAAAGUGGUUUGGUUCGAUUUUAGAAUCAAUUUAAUGUCUUAAAUCGAACCAAACCGCAUAAGAAUCAGUUUCAAUUUAACACAAAUCAAAUCAAAUUGCAUGCAUUCAGUUUUGGUUUGGUUUGGUUUGUUAAUCGAUUCGAUUUUCAACUAUUUUUUGAACACUUCUAAUCUUCACCCUUGAUCGACGACCAUUUUCACCACGCUUCCUACACUCUUUCCCAUGGGUUUGAAUAGCAAACAUCUAUUUCAAGCCCAUGGAUUACCUCUUUUUUUCCCAUUCUUAAUUCAAUAUAGAAAAUUUGUCAGCCAAGUCCAGAUACCACUUUCGGUAACCAUUGUCGGAUUCAGUUAACCAUUGGGUGCCAUUUCCGACAACCUCGCUAACAAACUUCUGUCCAUCAACUUUGAUGACCGCCACCAACCUUGCAAAAUUAAUAAAAAUGAUUUUUUGUACAACAGAAAAAUUUAAGUGAUUCCAAAGAGGCCAUUGACUUAAUCACAACAAUAUUUUUUAAAACUACAUUUUUUUUUUUUUCUGUUGGUGUCUUUUAAUAAUUAUUAUUUGCAUUCUUCUAUUUUUUUAUUUUGGAGUUUUUUAAUAAUAAAUAAUUAUUAGAUCAUCUUUCUUUAAUUUUCUCUUUUUCUCUUUUUGGUUUAAAAUUAAUCCUUUUAAGAAUUUUUUUUAUUUUGUUAUAUUUUUUCAAGGUGAAAAUUGAUGACCUAUCUAUAUAUUUUGAUCUCAAGUAUAAAUAAAUAUCAAUAUAUUGAUCAUAUAGUAGAAAUUGUAAAUGUAAGCAUAAUCUUGACAUGAUAAAAUUUUGGAUGUACAAUUUACAAAAAAAAAAAAAAAAAAAAAAAAACUAAACAAACUAGUUAAACCCACAAAUUCAAAACCAACACCCCAAACAUAAGUAUCAGAAACUCAAAUUUUCAAAUCCUAUCCCAAACACAGACAUUUGUAACUUUUAGGCAUCAAAACCCCAUCAGAUAAGCCUACAGACGUUUAAUUUCUAGUAAUUUGAUUUCAAACCUACACACCAAAUGUUAUGAGCAUGCUUGUUCAGGGCGUUGUUUGCCUAUGGCCGCAUGCCAAAACAUUCUCAACCUGCCUUAUCCUUUAUGUUUUGUAUUUAGUUUAGUUUAGUCCAUUGUUUUCCUUUUGCUGUUGUUGACCUUUGGGUGUGACAUUUCGCACUUUUCCUAUGUAAGCAUGUCAAAUCUAAAUAUGUUUAAAAUGUACUAUAAGGGAGAUCCACUAGUUGAAUCCCUGACCAAGUUUUGUCGUACUCUUUGCAAUCUAAGCUUUCUUUGCAAUUGGCAGUCUUCAAUGAUUUUUUCAAUUCUUUCUUUCUCUCUCACGUUUUAUAAACACAAUUUUCUCUCAAAACGUGAAGGAAAGCUACAUAAUAUCGUGAGUUUGCUUGCAACUUUCAGAUUUAGUACUGCUAACUUGUUCAUCGAGGUAAGACAAGUGUCUCACAAUCGUCUGUCCCAUAUCUGAAAGGUCGAGAUAAUGACAAGCGGUAUUGAAGCUUUUUUAUCUCCUUGGCUAAGUGAGACACAAUUAUGUCGACAAUGAAACAACUUUCGAAGUAGCAAUUUGAGCCAUUGACUGGAAUUUAAGAGCAAUUCUUGUACAUGAGAGAAUUGUCAAACGAAGUAAGAUUUCUCUAGACUCGACUGACUGAGUUGGAUAAAAAGGUUGGAGCACAUUAGAUGCAUUAAAUGCCCAGAUAGACGGACUACCUGUAAACGAAUUAACGCUAAUGGUUGAUUCGAUAGAACAUAAAACCGCCCAAGCAGUUAGUUUUGAACUUGAGAAUAGUUCUUCGAAUUCUGUUACACACAUGGAAGAGCAUGUCAAAGAGCUUGACUAUUCCCAUAAGACCAUGCUAAAGUUGUUUAGCGAUCUGUCAGACGACUUUAGAGCCACGAUAGAGACAAUCAAAACCAAAAUGGUCGAGAUGAAAGUGCAAGUGAAUUUAACGAUGUGAGCACUAGCAAACCAGAUUUCGAAUCAAGCAUGUAUUGCUUCGUGGAAGUUCAAGAUCCUGAAACCCAAAGCCUUCAAUGGGAACCUCGAUGCUAAUGAGUUUGAAAUUUUCAUCUUUGAUAUGGAACAAUACUUUAAGGCCAGUGGAACCAACUUUGAGGAAACUAAGGUGACAUUAGCCUUCAUGCAUCUGUUUGAUGAUGCAAAGCUUUAAUGGAAGUUGAAAGUUAACGACGUCCAAAAUUGUCAAUGUAACAAUACUUUAAGGAAGAACUAAGAGCUUAGUUCUUUUUUGAAAAUGUUGAAUUUAUUGCAAGAAGCUAGAAAACUGGGGGAACUUAGACACGGGGAACCAUAAGAGACAUGUCGAAAAAGCAUAAAGUAUUGUGCUUUGUAGAAGGGCUCAAGUUGUGGGCUGAGACAAAAUUAUAUUAACAAAAAAUUCAAGAUCUUGCCUCUACUCUUGCUACAGCAGAGAGAUUAUUUAACUACGGUGGCGACCAAGAGUCUUAAAAGAAGAAUGUGACAACACUAAAUCUCGAGAAUAGCGUCUUCAAGCCUAAUUAUGCAAGAAACUUCGCAUGAUAAGAAAUCGUAGACCCUAAGCACUAUUCUCCUCGAGGAGCACAUAAGUCAUGUUCGAAUCAGACAAGACCUAUUUUUUGCUUAUUGUGUAAAGGCCCCUAUCAAGUAUCUGAGUGUCAAUACUGGGGAUCGUUGACAAAAUUAUAAGAUCUUAGUACAUGAUCCAUGAUCGUGUAUCAAAUCUAAACGAUCUUGGUUCAAAAUCUGUAGCAAAUAUAAAAGAUCUUGGUACACGAUCUUGAAUAAAAAUCAUUUAGAUAUUGGCACACAAUCGCGUACCAAGAGCUAAACGUCGUGUACAAAGUCUAAAGGAUAUUAGUACACGAUCUUGUACUAAAUAUAAAUUAUCUUGGUAUAGAUCUUGAACCAAGUUUGUUUAGAUUUUGUACACGAUUAUUUAGCUCUUUGUAUGUGAUCGUGUAUCAAUAUCUAAAUGAUCUUGAUUCACGAUCGUUUAGAAGAAGAAUUACACGCGCACGUGUGGUCAAUGUUGAUACUACCUACACGAUCGUAUAUCAUUUCAUACAUGAUUGCGUAUGAGAUCGCUUAGAAGAAGAAUUACACACGCCCGUGUGGCCGAUUAAUCGUGUGUUGUCAGAAAGAUUUUUUAUAUUUUUCAUUGUGGGUAUUUGGACCUUUUCCAUUUUCGAAAUUGUUCCAUACAGUGUGAAUAUUUUGUUGGGUUUGUUAUAUUUUUUUUAAAAAAUCUCAUUAUAAAAUUCUAAAACAACUGAUUUAUUAGAGAAGAUUUAGUUAAUUAAAAGAAUUGAGUAUCUGGUUUGAUUUGAGAUCUUAAAAGGAAAAGUUAGUUUUGGUGGACCUCAAUCCUCAACUACAUCACAAACCUCGGAAAAUCUCACUGCUCCAAUUAACAUUGAACAGAUACUCGUAAAUCUUGUCACAACCAAUAUAACACCCAACCAAUCCAUACAAAUUCCUACACAUAAAUGACCCCAAACUAAAAAAUUCAUCCCGUGUUUCAAAACUUCCAAGCUACCUCUAGAACUACCAGUGUAACCUUAUAAAAAGGUCCUCUCCCCAAUUACCACCAACUUACAUCCUUUACAUAACCACAUCUCUUGUGAAAACCUCUCAACCCAAUAUUGCGAGACCUUUGCAAUGAACAUAUCCACACAUUAUGAACUCCAAUUUUACCAUCAAGCUGUCCCAUAUGAAUGUUGGAAAUUAGAUAUAUAAAAGUUGAGUUAGAAACCAUGGAGGUCAAUAACACGCAUGGAUGAUCAUUCCACUUCCAACCCACAAACAUUCAAUUGGUUGUAGAUGAAUUUAUAAAUGCAUAAAGCAGAUGGUUCCAUAGAAAGAUACAAAGCUCGGUUGAUCACAAAGAAAUAUACUCAAUAUGAAAAUUACAUAAGUCGGUAUAUGGAUAGAAGCAAGCUUUUUGACAAUGGUUUACAAAGUUCUUUAACACCUUGAUAUCUUUAGGUUUUCAGCAAUCAAAAGCUUAUUACUCCUUAGAGGUUCUGAUGCUGACUUCUUAGUCCUGUUAGUAUAUACGUAGACGACAUCAUGAUUAUUGGAGUAAAUGAGUCUCAAAUUACACAAGUAAAAAUCCUCUUAAAUAAGAAGUUUAAGGUAAAAUAUUUAGGAGAACUCAAAUACUUCUUAGGAUUAAACUGGCAAGAUUUUCUCAAGGGAUUUUUCUAUCCCAAAGACAUUUCACUUUACAAUUACUAGAAUCUUGGCUGAAAACCAGAACCUGUACCCAUGGAUCCUAGUCUCAAACUGAGUAAGGCCAUUAGUGAGCCCUUGAAAGAUCCCUUUACGCAUCGAAGGUUGAUUGGCAUGUUACUUUAUCUUACUAUAACAAGAUUGGAUAUUAGUUUUAUUGUCAACAAGCUAAGCCAACUGUGUCUCAAACCUUGUUAAGCUCACCAUUUAGUUGUCCAUCACUUAUUGAAGUAUUUGAAAAAUGCUCCAGAAUAAGGUGAUUCUUCGACCAACCAAAAACUUUCAAUUGAAAGCAUUUGCAGACUCAAAUUAGUCAUCAUGUGUUGAUACUCGGCGUUCUACCUACAUGAUUUUGCAUUUUCUUGGGAGAUGCUCAGUGUCAUGGAAGUCCAAGAAGUAGAAUGUAGUCUCACGAUCUUCAACAGAGGAAGAAUAUUGAUCCAUUACGCUGACAUUGUGUGAACUGAUUUGGUUACAUUCUUUGUUAAAAGAUUUGCAACUUCCUUCCUCAAACAAUCUUGUUUUGUGACAAUCAAAUUGUUGUCCAUGUUGCCUCUAAUCCAACCUUCCAUGAACAAACGAAACAUAUAAAACUUGAUUGUCACUUCAUAAGAGAAAAAGCUCCAUUUGGUUUCUUGAAGAUUUUACGUAUCAAUUUUCGAAUUCAACUCGUAUAGAUACUCUCACAAAUUAGUCACUUACAUCUAUUGUGUUUUGUCUCUAUUGUUAUCCAAGAUGGGUUUAUUGAAUAUUUUCAAUCCAUCUCGAGAGGGAGUAGCACAUAUAAACUGAAGUUUGUUAUUCAGUUAUCAAUUAGUUUUAUCUCACACUCGAUGUAAUGCCCAUUAUACAUACGUGUGUGUGUAUAUGGUUGGUACGUAAAGUUAAUGAAAUAAGGCAGACUUAUUUUGACCCUUCUUCCUCGUUAAACCUUGUGUUUCUUUCUCCUCUAUUUCUUGUUAUGUGUAUGACUCGUGAUCAUCCUAUGUUAAAUACUAACCCUUCUUUCUAUACGAGUUCUAGAGCAAUAUAUAUAUAUAUAAAAGAAUGCUAAACUUUACAUGGUGGCUAUGAAUUGCCAAAUAUUAUUAUAUAAAGCCAAUUCUCCAAGGUUGUAUGAAUAUAUGUGAAUAAAUUAACUAACUUAGUACAUUUAACUUUUAAUUAUUAAACGUAGGCACGUGAGAUUAUACCAAAAAAAGAGAAAACUCAAAAAUCCUUUUAAUAAUAACAAUAAUAAAACAAUAAAUUCCUCAAAGUGGUUUUCAAGUUGAAUCUUGAAACCAUCCAACUGCUUAUUUAGUCAUUGAGUCGUGUGGUUCUUUUAUUUUUCAUAUUUUGGAAGAAAACCCAAACUCAUGGAUUCCAUUAAAACUUGUGGAUUUACCAUAUGCGGUUUCAUAAACUUCUUAGUCAAUAUGUGGAUUCCAUACAACAUUAUUUUUUGCAACAUCUAAUUUUAGGUUCUCUCUUUUUCUAUUUUUCUUUCUUUUUUCAUUCUUCUUUUAUACAAUCUUUACUGUUUAUAAAGUAAGCAAAUAUUUUCCAAUAACUUUAAUAAUUAACACUUUGCCUCUUUUUCUUUUUCGUUUUUUCUUUAUUUGCCACUAUCAAUAUUGUAAUAAUAAUACCAUUAAUUAUUACUUAAAAUAUUACAUGCACAUUUCAAACUUGAUUAUUUAAUAACUAUAUUUUCAUGAAUAUGUUUAAAUUAUAUACAUGAAAUUCUUGAUAGAUAAUUAUAACGUUGCACUAAAAAAAAUUCAGGUUAAACUAAUCAUUUACGUAAAAAUAUUUAUUGAAAACUAACUCUUCAAUUACAAAAUUUGAAGUGAUAUUUUCUAAUAUAUAAUUUAAUAUUAAAUUAAAAUAUUUAUAAACUCUAUCUAUCCAACCGUUUAAUAGACUUUCAUAGAUUUCUAUUAGUAUCUAUGAGGAGUAAUAUUUAUAGGUUCGUUUUUUAUAAUUUUUCAAUUUCAACCAAUUUUAUCUAAUUUAAUUAAUUUCUUUCCAAAAAAAUGGAAAUGAUUCUCCCCAAUAAUUCAAGCAUUAGAACUUCUGUACUACAAUCUCUAUCAAAUUAAAUGAGAAUUUUUUAAAAUACCAAAAGUGAAAAGGAGAGAUAGGGACAAGAAAAACAACUCUAACCUCAUUUCAUCUCAUAAAUAUCUCUAGGUUGAAAACCAACAAUAAAAUCUUUUAUUGAUAUAGGAAUACACUUUGAAACAUUCAAUGUCGAUAUUAGAUAUUUAUGAAUAUCAUUUUAUACAUACUCAAAAUAUAAUAAAUGUCAAAUAUUUAAUCCAACAUGAGUAAAGUUUAGAAGUAAAGACAACCUAAAAUAUUAAAGAGCGUUUGCAAAAAGAAAAAGUGGGUUCAUACCCUUACAUUUUCUAAGUUAGUUAUUGAAUAUAUCUAAUUACUCGUUAUUUUGUCGUAUUUACAAAAUAUAUAAAAAAGAUGGGUUAAGGGAGUGUUUUUUUCUAAUUCUUUUUUUGUUAGGUAAUGCAAUUUCUCAAAUAUACUAGUAAAUAAUUUUUGUAAAAAAAUUAAUGAAAAAGAAAAUAUUUAGUAAAAACUCACUAAAAUAAUUAUAAAAAAAAUGUUGCUACCAAUUUUAUCAUAAAAUAUAAAUAUAUUUUCAACUAUAUAAUUUUUGAGUUUGUGGGACGGACACAAUAGAGAGACAUUGAUAUUUAAUAAUGAGUAAACUAUGGGGAAUGAGGAGAAUAUAGUAAUUUAAGUUUGGAAAAUAAAAUAAUUAGUCCUUGAAAUCACAGGUAACGUUAAUAAAUAAACAACUAAAAGAAGAAAACAGCGUAAACGCCUUUUUCACAAAAUCCAGGAAUCCUUCUCCACCAAAGCACCUUGUUUUCUCCUCAAAACCAUGGCUUCCAAAAUCUUCCUCCUUUCCCUUUAAUUUUCCCCUUUCUUUUCCCCUCUCUCUAUAAAUACUCACAUCUCACCAAAAUUCCACAAACCCAUUACAAAUCUCUUCAAUUCCUUCUUCUUUCUUCUUCUUCCAUCAAUUCAAUUCACCAAACCUAGAAACACACACAGAGAGAGAGAGAGAGAGAGAGAGAACAAAAAACAGAGCAGCAUGUCUAGGAGCGCAGUUUGCAGAGCGUGGUUCGUGGCGGCGAGCAUCGGGGCAGUCGAGGCGUUGAAGGAUCAAGGGGUUUGCCGGUGGAAUAAUGUGAUUAAAUCACUUCAACAACAUGGGAAGACCAAAGUUAGGUCUUACUAUCAAGCUAAGAAGCUCUCUGCUUCUUCUUCUUCCGCCAUUGCUAACCAGAUCAAGAAGUCUAGAGAGGAUAAGAUGAGGAAAGUUAUGGAUUUGAGCUGUUUGGGACCUAGUACUAUUAGAUUCUAGGACAUGUUUUUGUUUAUGGGUUUAUAUGAAGAGUGUUUUGGGUCUUGGUCAUGUGGGGUAGAAGAAGAUAUAAUGUUCUUACCAAAAGAAAAAAAAAAGUACUUCUAGAGAAAUGAUAUAUAUAUAGGUUGUUUCUUCUCUUGUUUUUGUUUAUGUUUGUGAUGGUUUUGGGUUUGAAGUUUGGUAAUGAAGCUUCAAUUCCCUUCACUUUUUUUUUUGUAAAUAGGUCUCUGGACUCUGGAUUACAUAUUAAUGGACAUUCAAAUUCAAAUCUUCCUCUCUUCCAAAAUGGAGAUGGAGAAGAAUUCUCUGUUUUUUUUUUCUUUUCUUUCCAUUUCCCUUUGUUGGGACCAAGAAUGUUUUGAGCACACAGAUCAUCCAAGAUUUCAAUUUCAAAAUAAAUAAAUUAGCUAUUUGUUGAAAAAAUAAAUAUAACAUUAGAAAAGAUUAUAGACAACUUUGUUAUUUUUUUUGCAAUUUUGAAAAUGUAUAAGUGAAAUAAAUUUUAUUAUAAAAAAAAUACUUUUUUGUUACUUUUACAAACUCGCUAUUUUCUGUUGUCGUAAAACGGUUCGAUUUGUAGAUUAUUAUAUUUCAGAUUUUUGGUUUUAAAAAAUUAAACUUUUUGGAAAGUUGUUAGAAGAAAACAAGUUUUCAAGUAAUAUUUGUCUUUUAGUAGCAAAUAGUUUGGGAAAAUUUUCUAUUUUUUAAAAAAUUCCUUAUUUUUAAUUAAAAAUUAAAAAAUGAAUUAAUUAGCAAAUGAAACUUUCAUAUUUUUAAAACAACUCUAAAUUUAUUUUAGAUGAUAUAUAAUUAAAUUAGUUAAUUGUAAAAAUUAUUUAAUUAAAGUAUAAUAGUAGUUGUAAAUAUACCUUUAAAUAUUUAAAAUUUAAAAUUAAACCUAAUCAAAUAUAAAAAACUGUAUUAACAAUAAGUUUGGGGAUUUAAAUUUCAUAGUCUCAUCAAUUUUUUUACAAUUAUUGUAUGUUUGAUGAUCCAAUUUUAACAAUUUAGAAGUCUAAAAGUCCAACGGUAGUUAGAUCAAUCGAUGAUUUAAGAUGUUCAAACUGGUACGUUGUUUCCUCUUCUAUUAAUAUUCAAUUUUCACUCCACAGGUAAAAGGUGUUACAUAUUAUUUUAAACUUGCCUUCUUUUAUCAAUUUUGAAAUACUCAACCCUAAACAUUUUAAGUUCAAUUUUUGCUUUCUAAUAAAUCCGAUCCAUGAAAAAGGAUUACACUUUAAUGACAUUACUCAUCUUAAGAUAGAAUGUUUAGAUAUAAUAUACGGUCUUGAAAGAAAGAAUGAGAAUCAUCUAGAAAAGUUAUAAGAAACCUCACGAAUUAUUUUUAAAAAGAUAAUGUUUUAAUUUUAAUAUGUUGAGAUGAAAUCUCAUAUAUAUAUUUUUAUUCUUGAAUGUUAAGCUAAUUUUUGGGGAAGUUGCCAUUUUUAUUAGAUUAAAUAAAAUAUAAUUUCGGUCCAAUGUUUGGGCUUUGGUUUUUAGUUUAAUCUAUGUACCUUUAGUCCCACGUUUUCUCCCAACCUUAUAUAAUAAAAAGUGCUAAAUAAAUUAUCACACAAAAUUACCAAUUUGGUCUUCUUCUUCUUCUUCUUUUCUUUAUUUAUAAAUUAAUUAAAUUAAAAUAAAAUAGGUGAAUUUGUUUUAGAACAUAAAACAUCUAAAACUACCCAUUUCAAUUCCAUUGUUUUAAUACAUAUACUCAAAAAGAAAAUAUUACUUAUUGAUACUUAGUUUAGUAUGUGAUAUCCAAUAAAAUAACAUAAUGGGUAUCAAUCAAAUUAUUAUGCCAACACGUUGAAAAUACAAUCGAAUAUUUCUCUCUCUAAAUUAUUCUUUAUAUAUAAAUAAGAGAUAAAAGACAAAGAAUUAUUGUUAGAAAUAGUGAUAGGCUCAUAGCUAACAUAUUAGUUGAAGUCAAAUAAUGAAGUUAAGGUGUGAAGAAAUGAAUUGUACUGAAUUAAAUAAGAUAUUAAGUAGUUGAGGGGAUGUGUGGUGACAGACAUGCCCAUUUUUGAGAUCUAGAGAUGCAAAUCAAAAAAUUUCAAACCUUACAGAUAAAUGUAACAAUCAAUGUACCAUAUCUGACUAAUGGGUCAUAAAUUAUUUGGGAUAACCACAUAAUGUGUUAGACCAUUUUAGGAUUGUGUGGUUAUCCCAAGUAAUUGUAAAUAAAAUAAACUAAAUUUUGUGGCUCAUAGAAUCUAUUACUAGCUAACAAUUGAGUUUGAUGAAUUUUUACAACAUUAUUUUAAAUUAAUAUAAUUUAAGGAGAAGUAUCGAGAUUAGGUCAAAGUACCAUUUCGAUCUCAUUGUCGUUUUUUUUGUUUUUUCUUUUUCUUUCAAAUGGAUUCAAUGAUUUAUGAAUAUAUUUUAAAAUUUAUGGUAAAUGUGAAAGUGGAUUAUUUUUUUAAAAGAAUUUAAGGAGUGAAUUUAAGAUUUAUUAAAAGUGAAUGGACUAAAAUUGAAUUUUAAAAUAUAUACAUACUAACAUUCAACAAACUUCCAAGUAUAAGUAUCGAAAUGGUAUUUUAACCAUAAAUGUUAUGUCAACUUUAAAGUAAUAAACUAAAUUGUUUGAAAAUGUUAUUAGAUAAUAUGAUAUUUCAUCUCAAAACCAAUUUAAACUAUAACAAAAUUGGUGGUUCAUUAUACAACAUACAACAGUAUAGUCAAAUUAAGCUGCAGAGAAAAACAACACUACAAGAAAUCAGGGCAUUCCCGAUGUCAAAAUGGGUGUCAAUGAAGUGUAUGUCGGGAAUGUCCCACUAUUUCUUGAUGCCGCUAGGCAAGCGUCAGCAGAGAUGUCCAUUCCCUACGUCCACAUUUAGCUAGGCAUCGAGAAUGGUCAACUAACCCCCAACAUCAAUGUUCAUGGCAUUGAGAAAAGAGAUAUUAUUAUUUUAUUUUUUAAUUAUUCCUGACGUCAUGCUAACACACGUUAGGAGUGAUGUUAACUAUUCCCAACAACAUAAGUGAAACGUUAGAAAUGGAGGCACCUUUUUUUACGUUGUACUUUACGGCGUUGGGAAUAGGUGGAUCUUCUGACGUUCAUAAAGUGAGUCGGAAGAUCCCCUACAUAUUUGAGUUUUGUAUUCACAUAACACAUAACUCAAAUUGAAAGGAAAAGAGGAAAAGACCGAGAGAGAGAGAUCGCCGUCCAUCCGUUGUCGUCUGCUCUGCUCGUCGCCGACACCCCCUCUGUCUUUGUCUCUUUCACAACCUCUUGGUUGGAGGUAAUUCAAAGUUUAAUAUCUUAAAUAUAAUCCCUUUUGAAUUUGUUCUUAAUUUCCUUUUCUAUCAUUGGGUUUCUUUCUAACUCUCCCAAUAUUUCUUCUUGAUUUCUGUUUUUGUUAUAUUCAACAGUUUGAAAUGUGUUGAUAUCGCUCUUUAUGUUAUUGGCAACAAUGGUGAGUUUAGAAGGUAAAGUAUAUGAUUUUAUUUUUCUUGUUGUUUACUUAUUGUUUAGUGUGUGCUUGUGGUUUGAAUUUUUGUAUACGUUUGUUUGCACACAACAACUGCAAAAGAGGAGGAAGUUGAAGAAGAUGAAAUGGAUGGUUACCCAAGCAGGAAGAUGACGACAACGAGAAGAUGUUUCUUUUUUUUUUUAAAUAGAGGAUAUCCAGAUGCACGAGAUAUAGCGUCGGGAUAUCCUCUCUCGAAAGACUUUUUCCAACUUCGAACUCAAUGCGAAUUUAUGUGUCAAAAAAUUAUUUUCCGACGUUUUUUCUAUUUCUCCCGAUGCUUUUGUGUGUUGGGAGAUCCUCAUUUUCUUGUAAUACGAUCAUAAAUACUACAAUGUACAACUUUUUUUGCAAGAUUAAUAAAUGUUGAUUUUUAUAUUUUUUGAAAUGUAUGACAUUUGUAAGUGUCACCAAACUAUGUAUGGGCGGAUCAAUUAAGGGGUCGAGGGGAGCACGUGCCCCCCAUCAUAUUUCCGGUUUUUGUAUUUUAAUAUUAAUUUUGAAGUGUUAAAUUAUAAUAUAUCUUAAAUAAUGCUUUAAUUUUACUAUAUUUUGCAUUUGGUAUAGUAGUUGUGGCCCUCAUUUAAAACUCUAGGGUUGUAGGUUCAAACCCCUACAUAUGAUUUUUGGAUACGCUGCUAAGUGACUAUUAAGAUUGUAAUUAGGUCGCUAAGUGACUAUUAAGAUUGUAAUUAGGUCGCUAAGUGACUAUUAAGAUUGUAAUUAGGUGAUGAACCAGUAAGUAUUUCAAUUCAAGGUGAAAUAUUGAAGGAUAAGAAGUUUAAUUUUCAAAUUGAUAAAAAAAGUUAAAGAAUAGGAGGGUAAUAUUUUUAUGUUACCAUAUAACAUUUUCAUUGUUCUUCUCGUCCUUCUAAAUCCUUCUUUUCCUUUUCAUUGUCCUUUUCAGCCUUAAAUUAUAUUGUUGUUGAAGUAAUUUGGGUGAUAUGUGUAGCAAAAUUGCUUCACCUUUGGACCAGUCAUUAAUUUUAAAAUUGAGCGUGUCAAGAGAUUCAUUUAAUAAUGCAUAGCAAAAGACGAAAAGGGUGACAAUAACAAUGCCAUUGUUUUGUUCUAUUUCAUAUCUUUUAACUUUUUAUUCCAUAACCCUAUGAUACUUUGCAUGGCUUCUCGAAUGAAAAUGCAAAGAAUGCUCCCUUACUUAACGUCAACAACAACAACUUAGUUUACAUAAAAACCAAGUUGGCCAUUGACCACGACAUAUCAUAUAUUCUCUCCGAGUCAAUAACGCACCAAAUGCAAGUAGUACAAUUUGAGAAUUACCAUCAAUAGUAUGCAGACAAACGUGUUAGCGUACCCAGGUAUUUAUUCUUCAUGAAUGCACUAUCAACUGAAAUUAUUGGUAAACAAUAAUUCUAUGCAUCGAUAGAAGCAACAAGAUUCAUGAAAUAAUACUUAAACCUACCUUCGCUUUCUGCUUCUUUGAUAGUAUAUGUUCAUGUAAAUAGUGAAACGAAAAAUGAGCUACGCUUGAUAACUUAGAAUGUAUCAUACUUGAAUUACAUUGUAUUUAUGAAAGCAUGUGUACUUGAAUUAUUCGAAUCAAUGUAGUAGAGAAUGUUGACAACAUGGCAUUAUAAGGCCUCUGGAGUACCCCUAAUAGAAUUCAAAGCAAUUUCACACCCUCUCCGAGCCUUGUCACAACUAGCUUACAUACACUCCCAUGAUGCAUUUUUAUACAAUUAACAACAUCAGAAAAAUGGCUUUGUACACUAGAAAUAAUCUAAGAUGUUGCUUGCCUAAGAUCAUCUUUUACUAUGCAUGUCAACCAGCACACGGGUGCUGGGUAUUUGUGAAUUUACGAACUAUCCAAAUAUCACUUUUAUUAAAUAUAGAAUUAUCACGUAAAUACCAAGGACAUGACGGAUCCUUAUAUCAAAUAUCUAAUGAGAUACAAUUCGACCUAAUCAUAAUAAGUUCAAAACUAUUGUUAAUAGCAAACAAUAAAUAGCUUUUUAGUUUCAAUAUUGAUUUGCUUAUAACAUUAAUCCUACUUUAAUAGGAAUUUCAGCGUGAGAUGAUUCAAAUGCAUCAAAGUCAAUAAUUUUGGUGCCAUGAUGUGAAUGUUAAGAUCUAGGUAUUUCACUAUUUAAAUACGCUAUACUUCUAGCAACACUCGCUAAUAUAGAGUUCAGCAAUCACAAAUAAAUCCUUAUAGAAGAAUUUCGAUAGAACUAACAUAAGCCAAGAAACAUUUUUAUCGUUCUCGCCAAUUUGAAUGAGAUUGGAAUGGUUGCGACCAUCCUAGUAAAUUGUCAAACGAGAAAUAGAUAGAUUGGCAAAUGGAAAAAGUUUACCUUGAAUAUAAUACAUUCAACAGAUUGUUGAAACGAAGUUGCAAAUAAAACAUAGCCCGAUAAUCAUGAUACUAGGAAGUUAUGAUCCAUCUACCAUAAAAAAUAGUCUUUACUCGUUGUAAAUUAAUAACAAAAACUUCUUGAUUACAAUUCUAUUCUUGUCUUCCAAUUGUAUAAUAGACACGAACUUUUUAAAAUAUAUUGCUAUAGGUCGAUCUAGUACAUAUAAAAUAAUUAACAUGCAAAUCAUUUCAAACAAGUAAAAUAUAGUCUAAAAUUAGUUUAAAUACAACUUUAAUUAAAAUAAUAAAAACGUAUAAGAGAAACAUACAAUUUCCAAAAUCCAACUUUAAAAAUACAAAUAUAUAUUAAAAAUACAUAUAUUCAAAAAUUUAUUAAAGAUAUAUCAUACAACUACUAAAUAUCUUUAAACUUGAAUUAAAAAUGUAUUUAAAAUACAACUAGAUCCAUUGAGAUUCAGUUCUUAAAUUUCGAUUCAUUUACGAUAUAAUCUCAUAACCAAUAAUUGAGUAAAAUACACUGUGUUUCAUAAAAUCGAUCACCUUAUCAAUAUUCACUAUUACAGUUACAAAAUCGAGAUACAUUUAAAAUGCAUUGUAUGCAGUAAAGAUGAUUUACCCACAACCAUAGGUAAAAAUGGAAUAUUUAGAAAACUAGAAAUGUGGGUGUCACAACUUUGUUAAAAGUCUUAUACUCGUCGGUUAUAUCUAUAUUUGAAAGGGGCACCUCCAAUUUUGUCAUUGUAACAAAUUUCACUCUAUAUAAAUGGUGUGAUUAUGGCAACCUAGCCCACCUCCAUAUACAUCUAACUCAAACAGCCCAUCAAUCAUAACCAUCACCCUAAUUUCAAAGAAGUAGGAAAAACAAGAAAACUAGAGGUUGUUUGAGUCAUAACUAACUCACCUUUUACUGCAACAAAUAUUAUUAAAAGUCUUCAAUUAGCUAUAUAAACGACACUAUUUCAAAGCCGUAUCUGAUAUUGUAUAUAUUUACUAUUUGCUACACUUUUAAUACUAUUUUACAUUAUGUCGUUUUUCUAUUCUUUUCUACAGUAUUUACUAUUUCCUUCUCAAAUUAAUUAAAAUAGUUUUCACCUUAAUUUCAUCCCAUUGCAAUCCAAAGUAAAAUAUAAUUUACACUCCAAACAUAAACUAUUGUACUUCGAUUAUAAUAAUUUAGGACGAAUAACCAACUUUUGGACCCAAACAAUGCCAUCAAUUGUAAAUUGAAAAAAAAAAAAAAAACCACAUAUGAUUAUCCCCAUCCUCCUCCGACCUCCAUAGCUUCCCUCUACACCGAUCUUCCCGUUUCCUCAAUGGUUCAACGAUCUAUAGCUCCAUCGUCCCCGCACCAUCAUUCUCUUUGAGUUCAACAUUUUAGAUAAGUUUUUUUUUCUCUUUCUAUUUUCUUUUUGUUGAAAAAAUUGGCACUAACUAAAGAGACACUCACUUGGAAGAAAGAAAGUUUUAUUGAGACAAUUUACAAAUGAUGGACACUUUUAGAGGGAACACUGCUCACUCUCACUUAAAAUUUCUUACUAACUCUCUUUCUCUCUUCCUCAUCCACUAGGAUAGUGUUGAAAAAUGUGAGUAAUUGAAAAUAAAAUGGAAAUGAGAACUGUGAAGCGUGAAACAGUAUUUGGAUUGAAAACUGUUGGAAUGAAAAUUAGUUUUGUAAAACAAGUCGAACCUAAUAAUACACACACACUCCAAACAUGGAAUUGGGAUUAAAUUACAUUACUAACUCAUUCUAUUACGGACCACCAAAGACCCUCUAUAAAAGGGAAGGAGGUCUUCCAUUUCAUCAUGAACAACUCACCCUUCACCAGAGAAAUAAAAUUGUGCUAUAAGGAGGCAUCACUAUCACUAAGAUAGUAUCCAAGCACAACAUUGCUGAUCCUUUAUAAAGAUUCUCAUAGUUAAAGUAUUUGACAGUUAUUUAUAGAAUCCAGACCUAAAAGAUAUGCAUCAUAGACUGAAGUACAAAAUAAUUAAUUUAUCUUUAAAAAUUCGUUAAACAUUAGAGAGAAUAAUAUUUGAGAAGAUGAUCAUAAGUAACUAACACGAUUUUGAUCUAUUUGGAUCAUAUAUUUUAUUUUUCAAAAUAAAAAAAAAAGAUAGUAAACUCACUUUCUAUAGAAAAAAAAUCUUUUUUCUUUCAAUUUGUAAUCAGAACACAAUAAUAUAUAUAAUAUAACAACAAAUAAAAUAAAAAAAAUAAAAAAACAAACGAAAAAGAAAAUCCAAUUGAAAGGCAAGAAAAUGCCAAAGAUAAGAUAUGUUGAUUCAAAAAUCAAAGUGGUCGUGGUUGGGCUUUGGAGAAGUAAGCAACGCCGUAUAGAGGCGGAGGCGAUCCUCCCCCAAGGAAGAGCACCGUGAGAGUGGGCGGCGGGGCCGAAUAAAGGACAAGGACGUGAGUGUGAGACGAUGGCGAUAUCGGCGCCAGGCUAGCUGGAUGGCAACAGCAGCCCAAGUGCGCCAGCCUGGGGAGUAGUAGCGGGCACUGCGCUUGACCUUGUCAUUGACAAAGGUGUAGCGGAAGUGCUGGGUUACAUACUUGACAUCCUCGGCCUCCAAGCUGAAGGCUUCAGUGGUCUCCAGUGUCACGAGAGUAAAGGAGGAGGGUGGAAGGCGCUCUAUGAAAGGGCGGCGGAGGCACCAGGAUAGAAGCUCGUCGCCGCUGAAGUUGCCGGGGCCCAACAUGCAGCAGCUUUUUACGCCGUCGCGUAGGACUUGGCUGCUUUGGAGAUGCCCUCGCACUACGAAUAGCAUUCUUUGUACUGGAUCUCCUUCUCUUGUUAUCUAAACAUCCACAUUACACAAUUUUCAACUAACAUUAACAACACUCUCAUUUUUUAAUCAACUUCCCUUUAAAUUCUUAACAAAUUUUUUUUUUAAAAAAAACUACCCUUUUGAAUUUUGGAUUUUUAGAAACACUUUUAGAAGUGAAUAAUAAAACCAAAAAAAAGAAGAAAAAUUAGGGUUUCAGUUGAAACUCACGGUUUCGCCCUUAGUGAAGAUGAGGGACUUGACACGAUCACAAAUGUUCUCAAGAACAAGAUCAUCCAUAUGUUGAAACAAUGGCACCUGCCUGACUAGAUCCAAGCAAAGGUGAUACUUUAUGUCUCGUCUAAGCCCUUCCGGUAGGUUUUUUAUCAUCUCGCACUCGUCCACACCCCGCAUCGCCGCCCACCGUUGGCGUUCAUAGUUCCGAACACGCUGCCGAAACCCUUGUGGCAGCCUUCGCUUCCUCAUCCACCACUCUAGGUUCCUCAUCUUCAGCUGCAUUCCUUGUUUUUUUGACGUUGUUGCAUGUAGAAACACCUUCGUAAACACAUAAAUACUACCAAAUUGGCUUCAUUUUCAUUGGGUUUUUUUCUUUUUAAAUUCAACAGAAACUAAGAACCAGCUGACUUCUAAAACACAAAAAAUUAAAAAUUAAAAGUAACAAAAGAUUUAUUUCCAAUUGUUAAAACUGAACCUGAAUAUUAAAAGCUAAAACAUUUAAUUACAAAAAAAGAAAAGACAAAAAAGGGUACCUUGAUAUUUCCAAUCAACAUGGUGACCAAUAAGAGUCCACUGGUGAGAACAAUGAUAUUGAACACUACUUCCAGCCAUUCAGUUGUGCUUUCCAAAUUCCCAAAGGUACUGUCUCCUCACACACAUCCAAUUCCACAAAAUUAAAAUAUAAAAUUAUAUAAACCCCAUUGUUUAAAAUAAAAUUAAACGUUUGUUUUUAAAUGUCAGAUAUUUUAAAAUAAAUUUUCUUCUGUAUAAGCUUAUGUAAUCGAAGUUGAUGCAUGAAGAUAAAUAUGCAAUAUAUAUCUAAAAGAAAAUGGAAACGGCGGAAUUAGAUACCUAAGAGUCAUGAGGCCCCAAAAGAUGGGGAAAAGGAUUUUCUCCAACCGACUUUGAUUGACAACAAGUUGAACAGUCCAUUUAUAAGCUCCAUAAUCAAAGUUAUCAGCAGUAUCUAAACACAUGAAUUUUGAUAGCCUAUUGUUUGCCCAAUCAAACCUUCCUCCAUCUCUUCCCAUUCUCAUAUUGUUUGGUCCAUAGAAGAUUGGGUCUUUGCAUGAUAACAACCUCAGCCCACAGCUGUUGGUUGUUGCUGAUCUACAUUGCUCUUUUAGACAUUUUGCUGCUCUUUGUACCCCUAAUAGAUACCAACAUGCACCUGCAGCCUUCAUUCGUGUAUAUACAUUAUAUACACUUUUCCAAAGCUAUUGUGUUGCUUUUGCAAAUGAAAAUUUCAUAUUUUGAUUCCAAAACACACACGUGCUUAUGGUUUUGCAGGAAAAUAAGCAACAGAAAUAACAGGGAAAUUUAAAGAUAGACAAUAAAACUAAAAACAUAAGAAUUAAUAAUCAAUGUGAGAAAAAACUCCAAACUUGAGAAAGAAUUAUGUGUUAGAAAAUUUCUGCUAGGGUAAAAGAUUAUUACAAUAUUUUUCCUAAUCUCAGAUUGAAACAAGAAAACUUUCUUAAAGCAUUUUUAUAACUUCGCCAUCUCACGUUUUUUCAGUUUUUAAAGUAGAGAAUAUAAAAAGAAAAUUUAAUUAAAGUUAACACAGUCAAGCUUUAAAGAGUUUAUUCUAAUUGGAACAAUUUGAAAUAAAAAACAUAACGUUAGAUAAGUACUGCACUUCUAAUAUUUUGCUAAAUCUUUUAAAUUUAAUGUAAUUAAAAUCAGCAUCCUAGAAUCAUGAAACUAGCUUAAAUAGGGAUGGUUCGUGUUGGAAAGAAACUUUUUGCUCAAGCUACUUGUAUUGUUGUUGAUCACUUCAAUCUAAUCUAGUUCUUUAAUUUUGUGAUGUUGAUUCAAAUCUCAAACUAACACUCAUAUUUAUACACAAAUGAUAGCCCUAUACACAAUAUCUAGUAGUUAUAAAUGACUUUCUAAAAUAUUCUUUACACAAUUACGUUUGUGGUAUCGUAUUACAAAUAGGGAAAUCUUUUUAGAAAGUUGUAAGAGAUAG
This 64536-nucleotide long non-coding RNA is filed under the name Cucumis sativus (cucumber). RNAcentral describes it as "long non-coding RNA (CSAT_LNC000882)". The record is from RNAcentral. Lineage: Eukaryota; Viridiplantae; Streptophyta; Magnoliopsida; Cucurbitales; Cucurbitaceae.